CUCCAACUCCUUCUCCAACCUGGUCACUUUCACCUCGAGCUCCUCUUUCAAACCCUUAAUCCGGUCAAACUCUGAUUUGGCCUCCUCCAUAAAGGCUUUCGUCGCAUGGAUAGGAAGAUCUUGGGCGGUUCGAUACAGAGCUGCCCCCAUAUGUGCCAUCUUGAUGCUGCUCCGAGUUAUAAAAUCCAAAUGACGAAGAAGAGAAACAUCGUUAGUAGGAAUGACACCAUAGGGACCGAUCUGCUGGUCGACAAACCCAACAGCGUCGAAAUCAGGAGCAUCUAUAUUGAAGGGCUCAACAGUUCGAGGUCUUUUGGAAGGAGGAAUGGCCGUAAGAGAAGAAACAGCAGCAAAAGCUUGGGGAGGAUCGAGCACAUGGACCCGAGGGAUAGGAAUCAUCCUCCUCGGUCCAGGAGAGCUUGGUACUGAUGGCUUUGGUAGAACAUGAGAAGAUCCUUCCCCAGCCACCUUGGCCGAGACGUUCUGGGCAGCUGUAGCCUUCCUCGCCUUUUUAAAGGCCCUCAUGGAGUCAUUAUUUUUAACCAUUUCUGAAAAAUACAAACAAAACAAAGUUACAAUGCUGGAAGAAAUAGAAAACAAGCAACAAGUAAGUCAAAAGAAGUCGACCACUACCCAGCUCGGCUCGGACAAGAGAAGGGUCUCCUAAAAAUCUCUUUGUAUCGAGAUAAGGAGGUUGUCCCCAAAUCCCCUCCAACAAAGUCACAAAAUCUUGCUCAACCUCAUCAAGCAUCUCCCACGUAUAUCUAGAUACUACAACAUUCUUUUGCCAACAUAAAGGGAAGGCAGGUUCACUAUUUGAUUCCAAGAAAAAAGGCCGAGCUCCCUCGAUAGCUCGGACCUUGAAGAAGUAAUUCUUAAAAUCCCUAAAAGACUCAUCAUACAUAGAAAACACUUUGUGCCCUUGGGCAGACCUGAAAGAAACCCAAGAAGCUUUCUUUUUGGUAGUCCCGAGCUUAGUCAAGACAAAAAGAUACAGAAAGAGAGUUUGAGAAGGUGUGACAUCCAACUCUUGGCAAAGCAACUGAAAGAUCUUGAUGAAGCCCCAGGAAUUCGGAUGGAGCUGAGACGAGGCCACAUUACACGAUCAUAACAAGUCAGUCUCAAAGAAAGUAAAGGGAAAGGUAAUGUUCAGCUGGCUGAAAAAAUAGUCAUAGGCAUAAAAGAAGGGACGCUCCCCUUGGGUCAGAGAAGGAAAGCAAACCCUCUCCUCGGAGUCCGGCGCUACCAACUCAUAAUCUUUCUCCUGGUCUCUAUGGUUACAGAUACGGUGACGUUUUCUAAGUUCCACAAGAUACUCAGGAUCAACAAUUGAAACACACAUCAGAACAAGGGAGUCCAUCCAAUCGGACAUGCCCUCGGGGACUUUGGAGGAGGUCUCAACAAUAUUUUACGAGAGGAAGACAUGGUCAACUAAUCCUACAGCAAAGUAAAAAGAGAGGAAUUACUAAAUAAACAGCUCGACCAUAACAAAGAAAUUAGCUCGAACAAUAUGGCUAAGAACAACACAAACAGCAAAAAGGACAUCCCAAGACCCACACCAAAGAUCCAAGGGCAUCCUUUGGAGGCAAUUAUGGAACAAGGACUUAGGAAAAUCUACAAGCCUACAUCUCUACACCUCUUAACAAGAAAAUAACCCCUUUUUAACAAAAGCGACACUCCGAGAAGAAAGCCACAAAAUUCAAAAAGCCAUCAAAAGAAGCCAUCUUUCAACAAAACUACUAAGGAAGCUAUCAACAUCAAACAGAUCAAAAUCACCUAAAGGUGCAAUCCUUUCCCAAAGAAUCAAACAGUUUCAUUAUCCCAAAACUCCAAAAAUGGUGACGCAAACUGAGGCAAAUACAACUUUCAAAACCCUAAAAAGCAUCAACUAUCAGGGAAAACACCAAGAGGCGUACAUAAGUCGAAAGGAACUCCAAAAAACAUGCAUCACAGCAACAAUCAAGCAAGACGACGCAAAAAGGUUCAAGCUUUCCAACAUACAAGCAAAAUCAAAACUUUACCAGGAAAUAAAUGCAAAGGAAGAACGACGAAGGAAGUAAAGAAGCGGAAAGAAGAACCAACCUGAAAAAGGGAGAAAGCUUUGAAGAAAUUGAAGAUGGAAAAGACAGAAUCCGGAAUCACCUUUCAAAGCAAAGAAAGCACCAACAAUCACCAAACGGCGUCGCAGAGAGAAACGCGAAAAUGCAAGUCUCAGGCAAAACAGAAAGGUAGAAAGAAAAAGGGGAAGUUACAGCAAAAGAGAAGAGGAAACCGUUUUUGUGAAAAGUUCAAAAUGAACGUGGGAGGCAAAAGAAAUGGAGCAUUAAAAGAAUUAAUGAGGUUAUUAAACCCUCGCGCAUUCCCAAAGCAAGGAGAUGCGCGUUUUCAAAAGAAUGAAAAUUUAAAGAAAAACGUUCCGCAUUCAAAGGGAAACUCUACAAAGAAGAAAUCGACAAAAUGCUUGAGUUCGGCUUCACCAGAGAAAGGAUCGAAGUCCUAAAACUAAGGACUCGACCUCAAAAGGAAGACCACACUCGAGCAGGGGCACUGUUCAUACCCUGGGUCGAACUGUCCGACCCGGGAUGAUCAGACGACAAGUCAACCGACCUCUUCAGGUCAGGAUUAUCCGACCUCACUCAAAGAGCUUGGCCAAAUCGCCAGGAAAAGCCCAAGUAGGGCCCAAACAGAGGAGCACGACCCAAAUCCAAAGGCAGUCCAAGCCUACAGAGAUAAGGGCAGUUCCCUUGAAAAUAAGAUGACCUCACUCAAGGAUAAGAUAGGAUAAGAUAAGAUAACUAUCUUAUUUCCAAGAAGGUCACUCCUCACCAUUAUAAAUACACUGGAGCACCCAGGUAUAACUCAUACUCUGAUUCUACUAAAAACCUGCUUGAUACCCUUGCUAACUUAAGCAUCGGAGUCCCUUGCAGGUACCACCACCCUCCGGUGACAAAGGAUCAGAAGCAUAACCAGUACAACAAGUCGGACACGACUACUCCGACCGCCAUUCACCAGUCGGACACGUCAUCUUCGACCAGCAAAGAAGAUCUCGUCUGAGAUCGACCCAAAGUUUUAGGUAACCCUCGGAACAGAAACCAUUGGCCUUUUAGUAUUAUCUGAUUGGUAAAACCAAUCGUCCAAUAGUAGAUUCUCUAAGAAAGAAAUCUGAAAAUCAAAGAAAUGAAUUUGACAUGGAAUUGGUUUCACAAUCAAAACAGUGAUAUGUUUUUGAAGGUUAAAAGUCCAUUGAACACACCACAUCAUAUAUUGCCUUCAUCCUCUCGUGCCUUUGUUUUAAGCACUUUAGAGAGUCUAGAUAUGUAAUCAACCCUCUACUUUUUUCCACAACUACUAGGAACCAAUGAUCUUUAACAUUAAUAGGUACGUAUAUCUCUCUUAUUAGGUUAAAUCAUUUAUUAGUUACAAGGAUAAAAAGAGUUAAUUAUUUUUUUACCACAGUUGAAAUAACUCAUCAAGAUAGUCUAUUACCUUAGAGAGGUCUUCAACCUUGCCCAUAAAGUUUGUUUUGAUGUAUUCCAUUGUCCCAACAGAAAUAUGUUGUUGUUGGAGUGCUAUUUGCUACAAGAUAUUAACCAUAACAAGAGUAAUAUGAAAUCAAAGUUUAACCUAAACUAUUUUGGGAUAAUAAAUAAAUAAUGACCAUAAUCAAAAGCAAAAUGAUUUAUGCCAUUAGAAACUUAUAGCAAAAGUGGUUGGGAGGAACCAUUUAUUGCCUUCCACUGUAACUGCUGCAUGUUUCAUAAGCAUUGAUGCCACCAUAUUCAAAACCUACAUUUGACGAGCCAGAAAUUGUCAGUCAUCAAUCAAAUUCAACAAAGUAAAAAAGGUAUAUCACAUGAAUUACUUCAUGACUUAUGUUAUCUCCAACCCGAUUUUUCAGACAAAGGGUCAUCAAUGCUUCCCGGCUUCCUCAACAAUGUUCGUUAGGCACAAGAAUCUCUCUAUUAAUAACAAAAUCGCAAGUUAUAUCUCAUGAAAUAAGUGUUUGAUUCCAAAUCUCCAAAAUUAGUAGAAGUGACCUACUUGGGGUCAUAAUCAUUUCCAAAGAUAUAGGCAAAAAUAGCCAACUCAAUACCCAUGAAAACCAUUUCCGAUGUUGGCCUAAAUGACACCUCCAAGCACUAUCAAUUUGGAUAGAAACAUGUAUAAGUAUUUAAAACAGAGACAUAGAGUACUUAACAGGAUAUGCGGGAAAGAGGGGACUAUUACCGUAUACAUCUCAUCACCAUACAUGUUCACCAAAUCAUGGGAUUCAUAUAGCCAUGGACGUCCUCGCUGUAGUUUAAAGUCUCCACAUGUGGGGAUUUUCUUCUACAAGAUGCAACUUCUACGUCAGAGAGGAUUUUUAAGAUAAAAUAAAAUUGAAAAAAAUUAACGAAUAAUCUCUUUCACCUAUUUAAAUAUUGUUUAUUCUUUUAAGAGUAAAUCACAUGAGUGUAGCGCCUUUGAUUAAGUGCUUGUAUUUGCUUAAUUUAGUUUUUUUUUUUUUCAUUUUGUCCUAAAAUCUUGAAAUCUGGCUUUCAUUCAUUUUUUUCACAUCAAAUCAUCUGCAAUAAUUUAAAUAAAAUAGAAAGUGAGAUGUUGUUAUCUACAUACCAAAGGGGUUGAUUGGUUUCUAUUUUUAUUUUUAGGAUUUUGUGAAUCAGAAAAGGAAAGUAAAACCCUUUUUUCCCCACUGUUUUCAGUUUAUUUAGGGAAAAAACCCAUGUCAGAAGAUGAACAUCCAAAUCAAGCCAAUUAAUUGAGUUUCUAACCUUAAUCGAUGAUGUUGCUUUUUGACCUCUGCAUUUAGUGGUACUCUUACGCCGUUUCAAGCCAGCGUUUUCGCUGAUUUCAUGAUCACUCAACGGACCAGAUGGUUUGCAAUCUGGUUCGAGCUUUUGAGCCAAAGGACACCUUGAUGAUUUUCGACGCAAUGGAGCCUUUUUUGCGAUUGUAUGAGCUAUCACUAAUGGAGGUGGCCCACUCACGGUAAUAUUCUCAUCAGCACUAGCAUCAUCAACAUGAUGAGCAACAGAUCUGAGUCCAGAUGAAACAAUAGACAAGAUUGCAUCAAUCUUUUUUCUCUGGUCGCUUAUUGUGGAGGAUAAAGAACGUAUCUCUUCAGCAACAAUGGUUCGAACGAACCUCGUAAGGGAAUCACUAAAAGAAGUCGUUUCCUUCAAACACAAAUGAGAGCAUCAGGAGAUACACCAAAUAGAAAAUAUAGAAAUAGAAAUAUAUUUCAUAACAACAUCUAAUGAGACAAUAGAAAACUCACCUCUCCAAAUGGCAACAUUAAUUGUUGGAGUGCAACGAUUUUAUCCCCCGUCUUUUCUUUUGUCACCUAAGGGGCAAAAAAUUAAAGGAAGUACACGAAAAUAAAAAUGAAAUGAGAUGUUGGUGUUUGAAGCAUACCUCAAUAUUUUAGCUUCACAGCAAUCUUAGCCCUGCUUCAACACCGUCUAUCAACAUUCAACUAUUUCAAAUACCAAAAGAAUCAUGUAAAUGAUCCAGGGAGCAACUUUACUUUUGUUCUUCAAGUAAUUCAAGAAGAAAACUAUUAAAACCUAAACCAAUAAAACCAUUAUACAUAAGAAUAACAGAAAGCCGGUAGAAAAUAGACAAUGCACAAUGAAAAGCGAAAAACAUAAUAACAGAGACCACCUACCUGAACUGACUCGCAAUGUUCUCCGGCAACCAUGAGAGUUAACGAACAAGCACGGGAGCACCCAGGGGGACAAGGCUUCAGACUUCAGAGGCAGAGAGACUAAGCAUGUGAGUAGAAGACUCCGACUAGAGAAGAAUGCGAGCACAGCUCCCACGAGCAGAGAUGAGUACUAACGCAGAAGAAGGAACAAGGCAAGCAGAGAGGAAUGUAGGUCCACGCCGUCAAUGUCACUAGUAGCCACCCCAUCAACUACAUAGAUUUAGGAAUUUGGAAAGGGGGUUAGGGUUAGGGUUGGAGUUGGGCUUAGGGCUAGGAUUAGUCAUUCUGAUGCAAAAUUGUUAGGACUUGAAAUUGGAGUUUUCCCAAAGAUUAAGAAAAACUGUUUUAGUAUUUACCAUAGUUUGAAAGAAGUAGAUAAUAAAAAUAUUUUAAAAAAUUUUUUGUUAUUUUUUUUUUUUGUAAUUUGUGUCUUAAUGAAAGAAUAAAAAGGAAUGUCGAGUGAUAUUUUGUUGAUUGCAAAUUAUUUUUGUAUCCACAAAUCAAAUAUUAAUACAAAUUCAAAAGUUCAUCUAUGAAUUUUUAUAAUGUUAAAUAACCUAAACCAUAAUUACUAAUUGAUAAAUAUAUCUAAUUUUGACAACAUAUUAAUUUCUGAUUUUUCUUUAAAAAAUAAAUAACUUAAUACAAUCAAAAUUUAUUUGGGUAAAUAUUUUAAAGAUUUUCGUAAGUGAUUUUUUAAAAGAUCUUUAAUAAAAAACUUUUAUCAAUUCAUGUUUUAUAUUUAAUCCCAUAAAAAAACAAAUUGAUGCUAAUUUUUAGAUGUAAGAGUAAAUUUGCUAUGAAAUAAUAUUAUAAAUUUGAUAUCAACACUUAAUCAGAGAAAUAAUAGUAAAAUUCACAUCAAAUAAUAUUCUAAAUACUAUCUCAAAUUAACUUUUAGUUUUAGGUUUACAAAUAAUCAUACAUUUAAUUCGAAUUAUUAAUUUAUAAAUGUUUGAGAGUAUAUUUCAUAUCAAAAUAACUUUUUAAAAUUUUAUCUAAAUAAUUAAUUUACAUAUAAUAGAACUCUAAAUUUAUUCUAAAUCACUAAUUCACAUUUAAUUAGAGAUUCAACGGUGAACUUGACAUUGAAUUAUGUUCUAUAUUGAAUCUCAACUUCUAAUUAAUAUUAAUUUUUAGUGUAUAAGAGUAAAUUUCAUAUAUAAUAAUGCUUUAACCUUGAUUGAAAUCACUAAUUUACACUUAAUUAAAAGUGCAAAACAGAAAUUCAUAUGACUACAUCAAAUCAUACUCUAAAUCUGAUAUUAAGAACUAAUUAACAAUUUUUUUUUGUUAUUAUGAUUAUGAACUUCAAAUUAAAUUAUGUUCAAUUUUUUAUAUGAUCAGAUCACUAAUUAUCAUUUAUUUAUACGUACAAAUAAAAUUUUCAUGUCAAAUCAUACUCUAAAUUUAAGUGAGUUUUUUAAGAUUUUUAAUUUACAAAUUCUUAUGAAUUCACAUUCUAAAUUUAAUCUCAUAAAAAACAAAUUAAUAUUAAUUUUUGGAUGCCAGAGUAAACUUGCUAUGAAAUAAUAUUCUAAACUUGAUAUCACACUUAAUUAGAGAAAUAAUAGCAAAAUUCACAUCAAAUAAUGUUCUGAUUGUUAUCUUGAAAACAAAUUAACUUUUAAUUUAUGUUCAUAAUAACCACACUUAGUUAUAUAUGAAGUGAUAUUCUAUAGUUAAUUCAAAUUACUAAUUGAUGCUUAAUUAUAUGUGUAAGAGCAUAUGUCACAUCAAAAUUAAAGUGAUGCUCUAAAUUUAAUCUAAAUCACUAACUCACACUUAAUUAGACGCUUAAGGAGAACUUUACAUCAAAUUGUGGUUUAUAUUGGAUCUUAACAACAAAAUAACACUUAGAUUUGAGUGCUAGAUUAAACUUUACAUGUAAUAAUACUUUAAGUUCGAUCAAAAUUUCAAAAUUACUAAUUGAUACUUGUUACGGACUGCCAAGUUCAGUCCAAGAAGUUGUCGGGUCGGGGCAUGCACUGCCCCACCCAGGCCCAAACCUCCAGCAAAAGGUCCCACGGAUCGGUUCCCAACACCCGACCCAGGACCCGAACGACUUACCACCCAAAGCGUGCUAUCGUUCGGGUCGGUGUCCUCAGGGUCAGUACCCGGCAUCCCGACCCAAAGUCCGGGACAACCUGCUCACGUGAAAAGGGACAGCUCACAGCUCCUCUAUCAAUGGGCUUGACCAUUGAUAGGCCCACCCAACAUAGUAUAUAAGGGGAGAGGACAGCUCCCCCCCCCCGAGGUACGUCACAUUCUUACCUAAUUCUGCCACCCUCCAGUACGGACUCUGACUUGAUCGUCGGAGUGUCCUUGCAGGUGGCCACCCCCACUCCGUUCAACCUCCGAUGUUGCCAGCGCACGAUCUCCCUCGCUCCACGCCAGCUCGGGGUCUCCCCCUCUCUCCUACUCAUCACCUUCCGACAACCCGAAAACACAAGGUAACGAACAUUGGCGCCGUCUGUAGGGAUCCCGGCACAGACAUGGAGUGACUCAUCACUUCGGAGGAGCUCCGCGAAGGAGGCGGGGCCCGUUUGAGCAGGGCGAGUUUGACAGCCUGCGCUGCCGAACAUCCGAGACCCUCCGUUCAACCCAACCAAUAAAUGUACACUAAGACCCCCGAAAGGCUCUCCUUCAGGGGAACGGGAGCCGACAGCGCCAAGAUCAUGCAAGAGCUCAGGCAUAGAGUACAAAAUCUCGAGUGGGAGUUGGCGGCGAGGGGCCAAUCCCACGAAAAUGUCAGCCACUCGCACGGCGGCACCAGCCGGUCCCACGCCCACACCCGCUCCCCCUCCCGAGCAUACAACAGCCAAGGUAGAAGCCUAAUAAGGCACGAAGAGGUGCACACGCAAGCAACUUCCAGACCCACUCGAAGCAAGUCGGAAAGCCGCUGGGGGUCCCAGAAAGAGGAGGCCAGGAGACAACAAGAUCCCAUUAUCAUGGGAGCCACCGCUUUUCACCCCUCAAUCCUCAAAGUCCGACUCCCGAGAAACUUCGACAAGCCGACAGACAUGAGGUAUGAUGGGACCAAGGAACCCCAGGAGCAUGUCACAGCCUUUGAAGCAAGGAUGAACUUGGAAGGGGUAGGCGACGCGGUUAGAUGCCGAGCAUUCCCCGUGACACUGGCCGGACCAGCGAUCAGAUGGUUCAAUACCCUCCCACAAGGAUCUAUCACAACUUUCGCAGACAUAUCCCAGAGCUUUCUAGCUCGGUUCACGACGCACAUAGCCAAGGCAAAGCACCCAAUUAACUUAUUGGGAGUCACCCAGAAACCCGGGGGCGAGCACAGCUCCCACGAGCAGAGAUGAGUACUAACGCAGAAGAAGGAACAAGGCAAGCAGAGAGGAAUGUAGGUCCACGCCGUCAAUGUCACUAGUAGCCACCCCAUCAACUACAUAGAUUUAGGAAUUUGGAAAGGGGGUUAGGGUUAGGGUUGGAGUUGGGCUUAGGGCUAGGAUUAGUCAUUCUGAUGCAAAAUUGUUAGGACUUGGAAAUGGAGUUUUCCCAAAGAUUAAAGGAAUCUGUUUUUAGUAUUUACCAUAGUUUGAAAGAAAAAGUAGAUAAUAAAAAUAUUUUAAAAAAUUUUUUGUUAUUUUUUUUUUUUGUAAUUUGUGUCUUAAUGAAAGAAUAAAAAGGAAUGUCGAGUGAUAUUUUGUUGAUUGCAAAUUAUUUUUGUAUCCACAAAUCAAAUAUUAAUACAAAUUCAAAAGUUCAUCUAUAAAUUUUUAUAAUGUUAAAUAACCUAAACCAUAAUUACUAAUUGAUAAAUAUAUCUAAUUUUGACAACAUAUUAAUUUCUGAUUUUUCUUUAAAAAAUAAAUAACUUAAUACAAUCAAAAUUUAUUUGGGUAAAUAUUUUAAAGAUUUUCGUAAGUGAUUUUUUAAAAGAUCUUUAAUAAAAAACUUUUAUCAAUUCAUGUUUUAUAUUUAAUCCCAUAAAAAAACAAAUUGAUGCUAAUUUUUAGAUGUAAGAGUAAAUUUGCUAUGAAAUAAUAUUAUAAAUUUGAUAUCAACACUUAAUCAGAGAAAUAAUAGUAAAAUUCACAUCAAAUAAUAUUCUAAAUACUAUCUCAAAUUAACUUUUAGUUUUAGGUUUACAAAUAAUCAUACAUUUAAUUCGAAUUAUUAAUUUAUAAAUGUCUGAGAGUAUAUUUCAUAUCAAAAUAACUUUUUAAAAUUUUAUCUAAAUAAUUAAUUUACAUAUAAUAGAACUCUAAAUUUAUUCUAAAUCACUAAUUCACAUUUAAUUAGAGAUUCAACGGUGAACUUGACAUUGAAUUAUGUUCUAUAUUGAAUCUCAACUUCUAAUUAAUAUUAAUUUUUAGUGUAUAAGAGUAAAUUUCAUAUAUAAUAAUGCUUUAACCUUGAUUGAAAUCACUAAUUUACACUUAAUUAAAAGUGCAAAACAGAAAUUCAUAUGACUACAUCAAAUCAUACUCUAAAUCUGAUAUUAAGAACUAAUUAACAAUUUUUUUUGUUAUUAUGAUUAUGAACUUCAAAUUAAAUUAUGUUCAAUUUUUUAUAUAAUCAGAUCACUAAUUAUCAUUUAUUUAUAUGUACAAAUAAAAUUUUUAUGACAAAUCAUACUCUAAAUUUAAGUGAGUUUUUUAAGAUUUUUAAUUUACAAAUUCUUAUGAAUUCACAUUCUAAAUUUAAUCUCAUAAAAAAUAAAUUAAUAUUAUUUUUUGAAUGCCAGAGUAAACUUGCUAUGAAAUAAUAUUCUAAACUUAAUAUCACACUUAAUUAGAGAAAUAAUAGCAAAAUUCACAUCAAAUAAUGUUCUGAUUGUUAUCUCCAUAACAAAUUAACUUUUAAUUUAUGUUCAUAAUAAUCACACUUAGUUAUAUAUGAAGUGAUAUUCUAUAUUUAAUUCAAAUUACUAAUUGAUACUUAAUUACAUGUGUAAGAGCAUAUGUCACAUCAAAAUUAAAGUGAUGCUCUAAAUUUAAUCUAAAUCACUAACUCACACUUAAUUUAAUGCUUAAGGCAGUUGCUAAGAAGCUAAUUUCUCUACAGAAAAAAAUUUUAUGGAGUAGGGAGGAUGGGAGGCAGGGAAUGGCGUUGGUGAAAUGGGAGUUGGUACAGACCCCGAAGAAAUAUGGUGGGCUGGGAGUAGGGGAUGCUAUGAUUCGGAACUCAUCACUAUUGUUUAAGUGGUGGUGGCAUUUUGCUAAGGAAGAGUGCCCAUUGUGGAAGAAGGUGAUCUGCUCCUGUAAUAACUUGAGGCCGAAUGAGUUAUUGUCUUCUCAAGCGCUGCCUACUAGAGGAGGCCCAUGGAGGGAUAUAUGCCAUAUAGAAUUUCAGGAGCAACAUCUGCGUGAUAAGAUGAUCACAGGUCUGGCAAUGGAGAUUGGGGAUGGCCGAAAGACCCGGUUUUGGGAGGAUGUUUGGUUGCAGUGUGGUUCCUUGAAAGAUCGAUUUCCUAGGCUCUUCUCUAUUUCAAACCAAUGUGGGGCGGUAAUUGGGGAGUGUGGGUUUUGGGAUGGGUUAGAGUGGGUUUGGAAUCUCCAAUGGAGGAGGGAGCUCUUUCAAUGGGAGUUAGACCUUCUGAGUCAGUUAAAUGAGGCUUUGAGACCCGUGAGGCUAGCGAGUAACAGGGAGGAUAGAGUUGUGUGGAAAUAUGAUAAACUUGGUAUCUUUUCGACUAAUUCUUUUGUGCAGGUGCUACAAGAAGGAAUGUUAUCAGAGGAGGCAACCAGUUACAGCUUCACAAAGACCAUCUGGAAAGGUUUGGUUCCACCAAGGGUUGAGCUAUUUGCUUGGUUCGUCCUGGUCGGCAGGGUGAACACAAAAGAACGGCUAAGUCGGAUCGGGAUUAUUAGCCAAUAUGAUAAGAGCUGUGUUUUAUGUAAUAAGGAUGUUGAGCAGGUCCAUCACUUGUUUCUUGGCUGUGAUUUUGCUUGGCAGGUGUGGAGUGCAUGGUUAUCUAUGGCUGGCCGGCUAUGGGCUGUCCCGGGGUUAAUGAAGGACCAUUUCCUGAGUUGGACAGAUGAGCCACGAAGGAAAGAGGAUCGAAAGCAGCGAUUAAGGUGUUUCUGUGCGAUCAUUUGGCAUAUUUGGAUGGAGUGAAAUAGAAGGAUAUUUCAGAAUCAAAAGAAAGGCGUAGAAGAUAUCAUUACAUUGUCUAUCCUUAGCUGCGAUGAGUGGGGAGGUAUGCAUCCCUAGGGUUGUUGAUGGCUAUGCCAGAGAUGACGUGGGGAUGUUGUUCCUCUGUUCAAGGAGUUUGUGGGAGUUGCCUGUAUUUUUGUUUGUUUGAUACUAUUUGCUCCACUUUAAUGUGUUGAGCUCUUUUACUUAAAAAAAAAAAAGGAGAACUUUACAUCAAAUUGUGGUUUAUAUUCGAUCUCAACAACAAAAUAACACUUAGAUUUGAGUGCUAGAUUGAACUUUACAUGUAAUAAUACUUUAAGUUCGAUCAAAAUUUCAAAAUUACUAAUUGAUACUUAAUUAAAAGUGUAAAAUACAACUUUAGAUGAUCACAUCAAAUUAUAUCUAAGUUUGAUAUUAAGAACUAAUUAACAUUUUUUCUUGUUGUUAUUAUUAUGAACUUAAUUAAAUGAUAUUCAAUUUUUUAUUCGAUCAGAUAACUAAUUAUCAUUUAUUUAUAUGUACAAACAAAAAUUUUAGAUUAAAUCAUAUUCUAAAUUCACCUUAAAGAUACAAUAUCAUUUUGAUGGAGAACUAAUAAAAUUUUGUCAUUCAAAUAAUUAUGUUGAUAAAAUAAUUAAAAAAAUAUAAAAUUCUAAGUGAUCUAAGAUUGAGUAUUGGAGGAACAAAUUUUCACUUUGAAUUUCAAAUCACUAUUUAUAAUAUAUGAUCCUACAAAUAUUUUUAUAGAAUCCAAAAUGAAAUUGAAACUAGAACUAACAUUGGAGAUACUCUAAUGUAUAAUCAAUUAUAAUUACAAUAGUGAGAAGGACAAAAACAUUAAGCAAAUUUACUAGUAAAAAUAUUACUCUAAAAAUAUAUUGGUAUUUUUAAAUUUGAACCAUAUAAUUUGAACCUAUAAUUUGGUUCAAUAAGAUUCAAUAAAAUAGUUUGGUUCAAUACGGUUCAAUAAAACCAAACCAAGUUAAUAAGAAAAUCAUGAUGAAACACUUGUUCAAAUCAGAAUGGCGACUUUAGCGGAAAUCAUUUUUCACGACUUCAUUUAAGUGGCCGCCUUAACGUUUAUGGUGUAAGCGGUAAUAUUUAAAAGAGUUUAGGUAUUUGGAAAAAUAAAAAUAUUACUUGUAUAUUAUAAUUAGUCAUUAUGUAUUUAUGUAUAAAUAUAUGUAUUAUUUUAUUUAUUUUAAUAUAUAUAUUAUAUUUUAAUUUAUAUGUUAUACUAAGUCCCGUUACAAAAAGUUUUUGUAACGAAAAAUGGAACUGUUACAAUUUAAUAUGAUGUUUUGUAACAAUUUUUUCUGAUACAAAAAAUCAGAAGCCGUUACAAAAGUAGUAACAAAUUUUGAUCUUCAAAGUAUUUUUCGUGACAAUCUAUUUUUUCCUAUUAAAAAAUUUUGUUACAAAAUGUAACUUGAUUUUGUAACAUUUUUUUUAAUUAACUAAUAUAUUAACUAUUUUAUUAAGCAAGUCUACAUUUAUAUAAUAUGUAAAAACAUACAUAAUUCAAACAUGCCUCAUUUAGCUAAAAUUGUUUUAAAACAAAAUAACAUUAGUGAGUACAUUGAUUAGUUCUACAAGUUAUAUGUCUUGCACAAGUUCAACCAAAAGUUAAAAGUUCUAACAUAGAUUAGUGUCUCUAUGAAUCAAAAUAUUUUUGAGCCCUCAAAGUAGCAUGUGGUCACCAUUUCAGCACUCCUAUAAAUAAGAAAAUCCGAAACAAAAAGUUAGGUGCAUAGUCAAAAGAAAUAUCUUAAGGCAAUCAGAAAUCAUGUAGCAAACAAGGGUCUAUUUUGACACAGAAAUUCGUCAAAUAGAACUUGUUUGCUCAAACAACACAAUGCAGUUUAAUUGAGCAACCAAAUAGUGAAUAACAAAACCCAAGCUUCCAGCUUCCAACAACCAAAACAGUGAAGCACUUAACCGGAUAAUCAAUCAAUUGAUCUUAGCAACAGUUGAAAACCAAAAGCAAUUAAAUACCAACUCAAUCAAUUAAUUGAAUCAAAGAUGAAUAUUGAAAACAGCUUAAGAUAAAUUCCGGCAGCAUUUCAGCAGUAAAUUUGCCUAUUUCACAAUUUUAAUCAAUCAAUUCAAAUUCCAUAUGAAUUCUUUGACAGUUAAAAACACAAAAAAUCAUAAUGAAUUCAUAGGAAAGAAGUAAAUAAGCCAAUUCCAGCAAGAAAACAUGAGGAAACAAUUAAAACCAAUCCAACCAGCAAGAAACAGAGCAGCACUCAGCAGAACAGCAAUCAAUGGCCCAUCAUACAGCACCCAAAACAGUAAAAUGAACAAAGGUAAUGGAUUCAGGCAGCAUUCUAUUCAUUGAAGUCAAUAACCAUUACACUUGCAAGCAGCAGGGGCACAACAGUUUAUCCAUUAAUUCAACAAAAAAUCAAUCAAGACAAACUAAACGAUUUCAGCAACAGAUUUAUCAAUAAAACUAAUCUCAGUUCAGCAACCAUCAUCUAUUCCAACACAAACAACAAUAACUCAGCAGCAUUUCCUUUCUCAUUGAAUUUAACAAUCAUUCAACAAGCAAGCAAUGAGGGGGAAAAAUCAGCAGCAAGCAACAGCAAGUAUAGAGCAGCAAUAACAACUUAAUGUGAGAAAUUAUUCAACAACAAAUGCACACACAAAUACAAGGAUUACUUAAAUGACUCAUCAUGCUUAUCCACAUAAGUCUGCAGUGAAACCACUUACCGUUUCACUUAAGAGGCUUGUAACAACAGCUUUUUUAUCAACUUCUUUCUCAUUUUCCCUUUCAGGCUCACUGUCAGGCUCACUGGUUUAUUUUCUGUAGAGAGAUAAGGACCUCCUGAAUUCGGCAUCAUGACAGAGUUUGCACUGGGAGUAAGAAGGCCAAAAUCUAAUAACUGUAUUAGAGAAGAAAAUCUGGUGUCACACUAUUUUAACAUUGAAGUGCUUUAUUUACUUCUGGCAUGUCUAUCAAAUAUAGAAGAUGCUAGUUCUAGUGAGAAAAGAAAUGUUUCCUUAUUUUAGCUGCAAAGUUCUCAUCUAACAUAAUAUUGCUUGAGCUGAUGGAGACAUGAUAUGCUGGUGGAUCAUUAAAAAGAAACAAGUAUUCCUGCAGCCACAAUCAACACAACAAAAGUCCAAAAUCAGAAUCAUGUUUCACAACUUUUGUGAAACGUUAAAUAAUUUGUCACAGAUAUAAGUGACAAAACAGCCUCAUAUAUUCAUGUUUCUACAAUCAUAUCAAUCAAAAGAAAGAACUCAGAAAUAGGCUAAGUCAUAUAGAACUAUCUUGUAGAUACACAUUUAAGCUUUUGUUUUUCAUUGGCAAACUGAAUGAAACAUACAACUGUUGGAAACUCUGUAAAAAUUUUAAUCUUCCUAUAUACUAACAUGUUUUAAGGUAGGAAAAUUGAAUAUAUAUAUAUAUAUAUAUAUAUAUAUAUAUAUAUAUAUAUAUAUAUACAGAAACUAAUUUACACUCGCUUCCAUGAAACCAAGUACGAUAGUUUCCAAUAUUUAUUUUAUCAUAAAUGUCAAGAAUGAGAAAUGCUAAACAGUUACAGCUUAGCAGGGAUGUCACGCAUCCAAUAGCAAUUCAUGAACUCAAUGAGACAUUAACUUUUCAUAGUCCUCAAAUUACUUGCAUUAGAAAAAUAUGAUAAGAAGAGUGCAGUUUCAAGUCAAAACACAUUAGGAAAAUUUGGUUCUUUGAUAAGCUUUUGUUUAAAGAGCUUACCAGUGCUGCUACAACUUCAUUAGCAAUCUGCAACCUCAUCCUCCAAUUUAAGGGAGUCUUCAAGGGAUCUACCAGCAUUCAAACAUUGAAAUAAAUAAAGAAAUAAAAAUAGUUCCAAUUAUUAUUGAGAGGCUCCUCUAAAAUCCUUCUAAUUUCUUUCAAAAUUUACCAUUGAGAUGCUCCUUUAAGCUUCCAUUCUCUAUGUUAUCAAAUAUGAGCAGUCUGCAGAAAUAACCCAAAGGCAACAAAAAACCAGUUAAAAAAUUUGCUUUACCUAUCAAAGCUGAGGACUCUGGCAACUUACGGAACCUAGAGGCAGAGGCAAAACAAAGCCAUUUUCCCAAAUCCCCAUUAGCAGCUUCCUUGUUUUCUUUUCCAUUCGCGUUACUCUUCACGGAGGACCUUGGCGACGGCGGACCUUGGCGACGGCGACGAACUCCGGAGGCGGCGGCGCAACAGCAACGGUGGGAUUGGAAGCACCAGUGAUAAUUGGGCGUAUAACAACGAUGAGAACUCCUCCUCUCCCUCACGUUCUGUUCGUUUUCCCCCUUUCCUGCCUGUGAUGGUGAUGGCGACGGGACCUGGCAGCAGCGGCGGUGGAUUAGCAGUGACAGAGGCAAGGCACGACGGCGACGAAACCCUUGGCGGCAAGACGCGACGGCUUCGUGGCAGUAGAGCGCGGCGAUGAGAUCCCCUUCCAGGGGUGGAUAAUGGCAACGUUGAAGGCUCUACGACGGGAGUAACCCGUCGGCAACAGUGGAAGCUUUAGUUGCAGCAAGAACGGUCUCCAAGGGCGACGGUAGGGACGGUAGAAACGACCCACGACGACAGCAGCGGCGUCCUCUUGCUCGAUCUCUCCUCCUCUGCAUCACUCUCAUUUCUCUGAUUUUUCAUUUCUGAAAUUUGUUACGUUGAAGGGGAUGAAAUGUGAUAGGGUGCGGCUGAGUGAUGGUAUCUUGGUAAGGAAGGAUAAAAUUAGGGUUAGGUUCUUCAUUUUGGGAAUAAGGUUUCUGUUUUUUUUAAUAAAAUAAACAUAUUUUGAGAUAAAUUAUUUUUAAUUUAAAUUAUAAAAUAAUCAAUUUAAUAAAAUAAAUCAUAAUUUAUUCAUAAUAAAAAUUACUUAAAAUAUGUAAAAUAUUUUAACUUUUCAAACAAAAUAAAUUAUUCUAAAAAUAAUUAUAUAAAUAAUUUUUUUAUUCUCAAAGUGUUUAACAUUUUGAAAUAAUUUUUUUGUUAUAAAAUAUACUUACAUUUUGUGACAAACAAAUAACUUGUUAUAAAUAAUGUUAAAUUUUGUGAUAAAUUAAUUUUUUAUUACAAAACAAUUGAAGUUUUUGAAACAAAAAGAUAUUUUGUUACAAAAUAUUUCAAAUUUUUACAACUACUUUAUCUUUUUGUUACAAAAUAUUUCAAAUUUUUGUAACAAACAACAGUUUGUUACAAAAACUAAUAUAAUUUGUAACAAAAAAAAUCAAGUUGUUACAAAAUAUUAGCAUGUUUUGUAACAACUUCAUUAUUCUUUUGUAACAAUCACUAAUUAUUAUUACAAAAAAUCAUUUUUUCGUAAUAAUUUUAAAUUUGAUACAAAAUUUUUGUUACAAAUGUUCCAUUUUCUUGUAAUGUAUAAUAAGCUAAAUUCAAGAGUUAUUAAAUUGAUAAUUUAACAAUAGAAUUGUGUAAUAAUAGACGGAUUCGUUUUUUCUAAAAUUCUAAACAUUCUAUACUAAUUUAUUUUUUUGUAUUAGAAUUUGAUGAUUUAAAGAUAGAUUGAUUAGAUAUAUAACAGUAAAGAGAUGAAGCAUUAAUUAUAAUUUUUCACAUCUACUUAAUAUACUAAAACUGGGUUUUCUCCCAGUUACUAAAGCUGACGUGUCGAUCUCUCAUGCUUCCAUUUUCCCUCCAAAACGAAUAAAAAUUUUUUUAUAUUCUAAAUUAUUUUAUUGUAAUUAUAUUAUAAUUAAUACUAAAUGAAUAAUAUAUAAUUAUACUAAUUUAGNNNNNNNNNNNNNNNNNNNNNNNNNNNNNNNNNNNNNNNNNNNNNNNNNNNNNNNNNNNNNNNNNNNNNNNNNNNNNNNNNNNNNNNNNNNNNNNNNNNNNNNNNNNNNNNNNNNNNNNNNNNNNNNNNNNNNNNNNNNNNNNNNNNNNNNNNNNNNNNNNNNNNNNNNNNNNNNNNNUUGUUGUUACUCUAAGUUAUUCUUAUCGUCUAAUGUUCCAAUUCGAUUGUCUUUUGCCACAAUCAUUUACAAUGCAUCACAUCCAUGAAAUACCUCAUCGAGUUGUCUUCACUGAUUCGGGUUCCAACUACAUGGAUGUAAGCAUUUAAAGAAGAGGCAAUAGUCUCUACUUUACCGAAGGAUGGUUGGAUCUACUCACCUAUUAUGACCAACCCAAUGGAAUGUGGUUAAAGUUAGAUUUCUUAGGAGGAGCUCGAUUUUUGAUUGAUGAAUUGCAUCCACGGAACUUUAUAGGGAAAGUUCAAGUUCCAUCCCCUCCAUGUUUUUUACGUCUGCCCGAAAAUCUUCGAAGUGGAGCACAUAAUGAAAUUGAAUUCCCUCAGUUUCAGUUCAGUUUUGCUAAAUUCGUGACAAAUUCAAAUAUGCAAUUUCAACGAUUGGUAAUAUAUUUAAAUUUUCUUAGUUUAAGCUGUUCAUUGUUAGAAUAAUUUUUUAACAUAUUUUGAUUUUUUUCAGAAAUUACCAGCUUUCUUUUGCAUGCAUGCAAUGCCAUUGAGGGGAAUAAGAGUUAGUUUGGUUUCUCGGUGUGAUAAUUCUAUACCUUGCCGCAUUGCAUGGAUAGCGGAUGAUGAAGCUUAUCUAACAAGAGGAUGGUCUGAUUUUGCACAAAUUCUAAAUAUUGAAACUUACAAUGUUAUUUCAGUUGGUUGUCGUUACAAGAAUGAUUCUAUACUAUACGUGACUAAGGACUAGAAUAGGUUCAAUAUUGUUUAGGUAAUUUAGUUUUACUAUUAGUAUUUGAUUAAAUUAUAAUUAUAGAAUUUUAAAUUAUUGCCUCAAUUUAUAUAUUACGAUUAUUUUUUGUAGAUGUGCUAUUUUUAAAUAAUUUAAUAAAAUGAAGUAGUGUCAGAUAUUAUUAAGUUUAUUUUUAUCCUUCAUUUCUUUAUUUGUAUUUUCAUUAUAUUUGACAAAAAAUGAACCUAUACAUAUAUUAAAUCGUUGACCUAAAGACAAUUUAUUUGCCAAUAGAAACAGAUUUUAUUUAUAAUUGGAAUAAAAUUUAUUUGCCAAUAAUCGGUGGAUAAAAUUGAAAUUACACCCAUGUCAUAUAAUUAUAAUUGAUUAAUUUGUAUAAAAUGAAAUUAUACCCGUGCCAUGAGUAAUAAUCUAAAUAAUUAUAUCUUAACAAAAUAUAAUUUGAAAUAAUUUAUAAACAAUUAUCUUAACAAAAAUAAUUAUUUAAUAAUUGAUUUAAAAAUCAAUUCAAAAAAUAAUUAUUAAUAAUUGUAUUAUUAACUGGGUAAAUAAUAUAAUAUCAAAUUAUUACUUGAAAUAUAAAUAAUAUAUGAAAAUUUAUUGAGUAAAUCAAUGAUUUUGCACCUUAAUAAUUUAACAAUUAUUACUCAAUUAACCAGUUAAUUGAAUUAGUAAUAACAAUUUUCAAUUUCAAAUUUUGUAUAUUAAGUAGUUAUUAAAAAUUGGGUAAUAACAAUUUACACGGAAAAAUCAUUGAUAAAUUCAAUUAACCAUAUAGAAGAUAAUAUACUAACAGUUUUAGUAUAUUAUUUAUGGCAAGCGAAAUUAUUUUCUCAGAUUUUCUAUUAAAAUUGAAAUUAGUAAUAGUUUAAAAAAAGGUUUAUAAAUAAAAUUACUAAUAGUCACAUUUUUAUACACAGGAUAUAUGUUUUCUAUAUAUUAUUUAAAAAAUAUAAUGAAACAUGAAUAAUGAAUGAGUAUGUUAUUUCUUCGACUAGCUAAUUAAUGCAAAAUCGAGUACCUUUUUUUAUUCGAUUGAGGUCAUAUUCUGUUUGGUGACAGUUUCAAUCACCUUAAUUAAAUCCUGUCUUUGUGCCUUAACUUAUACAGAUAGUAAUAUGUUACAUAUUAUUUGGUAUAUCUAAGUAUUUAUUUUCCGUAGCGGAGAUGUAAAAAAUCAUAUUAAGGUUUAUUGCCAAAUAAUUAGUGGAUGAAUAAUAGUAGAUUAUAUUAUUUUGGGAAAGUAUUUUCAUUAUAAUUAUAUCAAAUCAAUAUUUAAUUAUGAUAAAAUAUGUUAAUUAUAAUUAUAUCAUAGAAUUAUAAUAAUUACGAUAUUUAUGUUAUAUAUUUUAAUCAUUUAUGUACGUAAAUAAAAUAGAAAUCAAUCAAAUCAAAUUAUCACGGGAAAUAAUAUGUUGUAUAUUAUUACGGGAAAUAAUCCGUAGAUAAAAUUGAAAUUACACCCAUGUCAUAUAAUUAUAAUUGAUUAAUUGGUAUAAAAUGAAAUUAUACCCGUGUCAUGAGUAAUAAUCUAAAUAAUUAUAUCUUAACAAAAUAUAAUUUGAAAUAAUUUAUAAACAAUUAUCUUAACAAAAAUAAUUAUUUAAUAAUUGAUUUAAAAAUCAAUGCAAAAAAUAAUUUUUAAUAAUAGUAUUAUUAACUGGGUAAAUAAUAUAAUUUCAAAUUAUUACUUGAAAUAUAAAUAAUAUAUGAAAAUCAAUUGAGUAAAUCAAUGAUUUUGCACCUUAAUAAUUUGACAAUUAUUACUCAAUUAACCGGUUAAUUGAAUUAGUAAUAACAAUUUUCAAUUUCAAAUUUUGUAUAUUAAGUAAUUAUUAAAAACUGGGUAAUAACGAUUUACACGGGAAAAUCAUUGAUAAAUUCAAUUAACCAUAAAGAAGAUAAUAUACUAACAGUUUUAGUAUAUUAUUUAUGUCAAGGGAAAUUAUUUCCUCAAAUUAAAUUUUAUAUAAUUAUAGUAAGUCUUUGUAAUUAAAGCAAUAUAAAACUGCUUCAUAUAUAACAAUAAUAUUAUACAUAUUUAUAUAUCUCUUCUUUUAUCUCUUUUUUUAAAAAUUGGCAUAUAAUUAAUGUAAAAAAUAUAUAAUAUUAAACUGUUUUGUUAUGCAUAUAUAUGAAUUUAUAUAAUAACCCGUAUAAUUUAUACGUAUGGCAUAAUACAUAUGUCAAAAAAAGAUUCCAUAAUUUUUGAAAACCACUGUUUUGUUAUAUGAAAUUGAAAUUGAAAUUAAAUAAUUUUGAUUUAUUAAUUCUAUUUCUCCUAUGAUACUAUAAUAUUCGUUUGUUUCUCUUUUUAACUUACUUUUAGAUUUGGUGAGUAAAAAGUCUCCUAUUUCUUUGCUCUCAAAUGAAAACCCAAGAACUCAGAAAUUUUGCAGAAUGGCUACUCAAAAUUGGUGAUGGUUUAGCCGGUGAUACAACAGAUGGUGAAUCGAUCGUUCAUAUACCAUCUAACAUUUUGAUUAAGAAUUUUGAGACAGCUUUGGAUGACCUCAUUGAUUUCGUGUAUCCAGAUAUGUUAUCCAAUUUAUCCGUUGAAAAUUAUUUCAAGGAUAAAGCAAUUCUUGCACCAACUUUGGAUUGUGUCACUGAUGUCAACAACAAGAUGACUGCAGGGUUACCUGGACAAGAAAGAAUCUACUUAAGUUCAGACUCUGUGUGUGCUGAAGAGGAAAAUAUAGAAUUUGAGUUAGAUGCUUUCUCGCCGGAGAUUCUAAAUGAAAUAAAUUGUUCAGGUCUACCACCACACAAGUUGGUUCUGAAGGUUGGCGCUCCUGUUAUGUUGCUGCGGAAUAUAGGCCAAACUAAUGGUUUGUGCAAUGGAACGAGGAUGCAAGUUAGAAGAAUGGGAAAUCAUGUGAUAGAAUGCAAGACUUUAACUGGUAACAAAGCUGGAAGUAUUGUUCUUAUCCCAAGACUGAAUCUAAUUCCAAAUAAUGAAACAUUGCCGAUCAGGUUUCAAAGAAGACAAUUCCCAAUUAUCAUGUCAUUUGCAAUGACAAUAAAUAAGUCCCAGGGACAAACUCUAUUGAAAGUUGGAAUUUACCUUCCAAGGCCAGUUUUCACCCAUGGUCAAUUGUAUGUUGCGUUAUCAAGGGUAACGAGUAAAGAUGGUCUGCGAGUGCUGUUGCAAGAUCAUGGACACUUAGAAGAUAACUGCACGAUGAAUGUGGUAUAUAGAGAAGUUUUUGAGAGCCUAUAAUAAAAAGGUAAUACCAAAAUGUCUUACUAAAUCUAUUUAUUUAUUAAAAUUUAUUACUAUCACUUAAAAAAAUUUAGAAAUUCUAGGAACUAAUAGAUGAAUUCUUAUUGUACAUUAAUAGUUUGAGAAUAUUAAAAUUAUCAUAAAAAUUCGUAUAAUUUUAUUCUCUUGACAAACAAUUUUAUAAUUACGUUAAUCAUAUAAUUUUAUAUACAAACAUUGAUACAGUGUUGUUUCAUGUAUAUAUUUUGCAGGUAUCAAAGAAUAGCAUUGAAUUGUUAUUCAGUACUUUUAAAUUAUUUAUUGUUUAUUACAAAACUUUCCGCAUUAGGCUUCUCUAUUAUUUUGUUCUUCAUUUUGAGCUGAUUUUGAUAUUUUUUUACUUCAAAGUAAACCAACAUAUAAAACUUUGUUGGUAGAUUUAAGUAUUACUAGAUUAUUUAUGGUCAUAUUGAGUAUAUAUGCCUGAUUUAUUGAAAAAAGUAGAUUAAAUAACUAUUUUAUAGUUAAUACAAUUAACAUUAUAUUAAGAAAAGAAAAACAACGCAUACAAGUUAUUCUUUUAUUAAUUAAAUUAUUAUAAUUAAAAUGAAAUUUAACAUAACAACUUAAAAUUAUAAUUUUAAUCUUAUCACGUGCAUGGCACGGGUGAUUAAACUUGUAUAUAUUUAUAUAUGGUUUAAUUAAUUUGGUGGUCCUAUAGUUUCGCAAAAAUUUUAAUUAGGUUUUUAUAUUUUUUUUUCUUUUUAAUUGGGUUUUGUUACUAAUUUUUUUAAUUGGGUCCCUAAACUUUUUUUUUUCGAUCCUUUUAUUUGGGUCUUUGCACCAAUUUUUUUUUAAUUGGAUUCCUAUACAAUUAAAGCCAAAUACUGUCAAGAGGGACUUAAUUGAAAAAAAAAUUGGUGCAAAGACCAAAUUAAAAGGAAAAAAAAGUAUAGGGACCUAAUUGAAAAUUUUGCGAAACUAUAGGGACCAACAGAAUAAUUAAACCUUUAUAUAUUUGCUUAAAUAUCACUGCAAUUCUAUUUUUCAGUAGAAUAUAGUGGUGAAUAAAGCUAGUUACGUAUGAGUAGGCAAAGUUUGGAAAAAGAGAAGAGUACAAUGACAAAAAUCUCAUCUUAUUCUGCUAUAUAUGCAUGCUAUAUAUAUACUUAGAAUAACACUUAUUACACCUUUACAAGAGAAAAUAUACCAGCUAGAUAUUCUAAUAAAAUCCUAACAAAUGUUUGUAUAUUUAUACACUUCAACUGAUCAUCAUUUUACCCAUUGUUCUGAAAAUCAAAUCGGACUAGUUGGUUCGAUCAGGUUAACCGGAAAUCAGUCCUCUAGUCGGUCCGGUUGAUGUACAAAACCGCUUGGUAAAAAACUGGCAUAAAAAUCAGUCAUACCGAUAGUAAACCGAUAAAUCGGUAGAACUGAUUGGUUUUUUAACCGUUUUUAGAAUUUAAAAAAAAUGAAAAUGGAUAAAAUAAAUACUACUUGCAGCCCUAACCCCCAAAAAUCCCUAACCCACUACGGCGCUACUCCCCUGUCUCUCUCAGCCAGCAGCCCCUCUCUCUCUCAGCCAACAACAGUCACCGCCUCUGUCGUCGCCGAACUCUCCUCGUUAGCCAGAGGGUUCCUCACCGCCGGCAGUGACAGAUAGAUGGUGCUUCGAGCUCUUGGCCGUCCAUCCUCAUCUCCUCCACGUCGUCGCCUUUGGCCAUCCAUCCUCGUCUUCUCUACAUCAUUUUUGUCUUCGUCGUGUGGACUUGCAGAUCGAAGUGCGGUCGGCUGGAUUCCUCCAUUGUUAGUCAGUUUGCUCGAUCCCGUCUAUUUUGCCGUUCCUCCCUUGCCGGUAGUCUUGCCGCCUGUUUCAUUCCUCCGUCACGUCAGUUUGGUUCCUCUGUCGUCGAUAGCUCUACUUUAGUUUUUCCCUUUUGUUAAUUUCUAUAAUUUUGAGGUUCUAUUUAUUAAAGAUUCAACUCUGUUUGCUUCAAUUUAUGGUCGUGUAUUUUGUUAAUUUUACUGAGUUACUGAAAUCUAAGAUCUGAUUCUUGAGUUGCUGUUUUUUUCUGUUUGUUGUGUUCUGAAUUUGAAUUGGGGUGAGUUGAUAUUUUUUUCUAUUUGUUGUAUUCUGAGUUUUGACUUCUGAAUUAGAGUUGGUGGUGGUAUGAUUAAUUUUGUCAUGGUGUUUUACAUUGAUCUGCAUAUGAUCUACAUAUGAGGACAUACAUGUGUUACAGCUUCUUUAUACAAAUUUGUUAGACCUAGCAGAAAGGUUGCAAAAGACAUGCCCAGAAAUAGAAUAAAAUCUUCACCCUCAUGCCCUCAUCUUUAUUUCCUUCCAUUUCUACAUUGUUAAUUCUACAAUGAUUUCUUUCUUUAAUUUCUCCUUUUACCCUAAAUUUAGGAAAUUAAACGUUGGUUUAGAUUUUCCUUAUUUUAAUUUUGAAAAGAAUAAGAAGAGAUCAGAUUUUAGUUUACUUACCAGAUAUUGUUAAGGUAACAAAAAAGGUCAUGCUACAUGUUUCAUUGUAUGUUUAAUUUUUAAUAGUUUUAUUUAAUAUUUAAUUAAACCGGUUGAACUCCGGUUGAAUCCCAGUCGAACCUUUGAACCAAUGAACUAAUCACUCUACCGGUUCAUUGACCGGUCCGGUUCUCACAACCUUGAAUUUUUACCACGAUAUUUUUUCACACUAGAAUAUUCUUCAGUCACACCCCUCAAGCUUGGGAGCAUGAAAAUUAAUCAUUCCUAUUUUGAAAGUGCAAGAAGAAAAAAGAGCAGGAGUUAGAGAUUUUGUAAAAAUAUCGAUUACUUGAUUGGUCGAAAAAGUUGGAAGAAGUUUCAAUACUCUUUAUUGGACUUUAUCAUGCACAGCAUGACAAUCAAUUUUGAUGUUCUUGGUUCAUUCAUGAAAGACCGGGUUCAUGGCAAUAUGCAAGGCUAAGUGAUUAUCACUGUAGAAUGUAAUUAGACGUUGGAGCGAUAGCUUGAAGUCUUGCAACAGAUAGGAGAGCUAAACUCCUUCACAAGUAGCAAGUGUCAUUGAUCUAUAAUCAGUUUUCUCGUGCGACUGCGUGUUGGUUUUUACUACGCUAGCAUAUCAGUGAGUUGCCAAGAAAGAAACAAAAACCUAAGACAAAAGGGCAAGUGUCAGGACAUCAUCCCCAAUCAAACUCAGAGAAAGCAGUAAAUGUGAGAUCAUUUGAAGUAGAAAGCAACACGCUUUUUGCUAGAACUUCUUUAAGAUAUCAAAGGAUAUGGAGGGCAGCUUGAAAAUUCUUGGUGGAAUAAUAGUCUAGAAAUUGACUUAGCUUACUCGCUGCAAGGCAUAUAUCUGAACGGGUAUUUGUUAGACAGACUAAAUGACAUACAUAUCAAUCUUCUGUAAGGUCUCACAUCAUCAAGAGGGAUCCUUGAUUCCUAGAAAGCUACAUUGUAUAGUCAAUUGGUGUAGCUAUUAGCUUAGCAUUGAUUAACUCAAAUUCAUCAAGAAGAUCCAAACCAUUUUUUUUGGUACAUAGAUAUGCCUUGCUUACUUCUAGCAAUCUCAAGUCUAAGAAAGAAUUUCAAAUCACCAAGGUUUUUAAUUUUAAACCUAUCAUCAAGAAAUCUUUUAAUUCUCACAAUUUCAGUCCAAUCAUUAUCACUCAGCACAAAAUCAUCAACAUAAACCAAAAUACAUGUAAAAUCUGCAUCAGAUUGUUUAGUAAAUAAGCAACUAUUUGAUUUGGAUUGAGUGUAACCAGUUUGUAUAAGAACACAACAUAGUUUUUGAUACCAUUGCUUGCUAGCUUAUUUCAAGCCAUAUAAAGAUCUUUUCAACUUGCAAACCAAACCAUUUGAAAUUUGUAAUCCAGAUGGAGGCUUCAUAUAAACUUUCUUAAAUAAAUCACCAUGCAAGAAAGCUAAAUUUAUGUCUAAUUGGUACAUAUAUCAAUUUUUCAUUGAUGCAAUGGCUAAUAGAAUCCUCAGCGUAAUGAGUUUUAUCAUUGAACUAAAAGUAUCAAAGUAGUCAAAACUAAUUAUUUGGGUAAAACUUCUUGCAACCAGCCUCGCUUUGUGUCUUUUGACUUCACCAUUCAAUUAGAAUUUUGUUCUGAGUACCCAUUGAUAGUUGAUAGUCUUCUUCCCAAUAGGUAGAGGAGUCAAUCUCCAUGUCUUAUUUUUCUCUAAAGCAUUCAAUUAUUCUCUAAUAGCAUUUUUCCAUCAGUCAUGAAGAAUAGAUUCUUCAUAAUUUCUUGAUUCUAUGGUAAAGGAGAUAACAAUUGAAAAUGCCUUAUGUCAUGCUAAUAGUAUGUCAUAGGACAUAUAUUUGGAUAUUUGGUGCCUGAUGUAGGAAGAUGAUGAAGCUUACUGAGUAGAAAUUGUGAGCUGCAUACAAUGUUACUCUUUUAAAUAAGUUGGUUGUUUUUUUUUCUCUAUAAGAUCUUCUCAAAUUAGUGUUUUGUUGCUGUGUGAUAUGAAAUGAAUGUAAGUUUUGAGAUGGUAGACAUGAAUGUAUAUUAUGAGAAGAAGAAGAUGAAUUUAAAUAUUUUCUUGCAAAUCAGUGUUUGAUGUAUCACUUAUGUCUUGUCUCCUAUGAAUAAGGUAGCAUGUUAGAUGUAGAAGAAUUAUAAUUUGUUUCUAAAUUAGAAUUUAGUGAAAAAACCAGGUUAGUAGAAAUUUCAUCAUCAAUAACAUUUGGAUUGAAGCCAUUGUUUAAAGUAAAAUCAUCAAAUAGAUUAAUUAACAUUUUUAUUUCAUGUUGAAUAUUCGUUUCAGAGCUUUACUUUUGCUUUGAGAUUAUCUAAUUUGUGAUGUAUCCUUAUGAAAAGAGAAGUAGCUUUCAUAAAAUAUAACAUUCCUUGAUAUAAAUAUUUUCUUAGUUUUAAUGUCUAAGUAAAAUAUAUUCUUUUGUACCACUUUAUAUCCAAGAAAAAUACACUUUGUUGAUCUGUGAUCUAAUUUCUUUGUAUGUGCUUGUAAAGUAAAAGCAAAAGCCAGGCAUGCAAAGUCUUUUAAGUAACUUAAAUUUGUAAUUAAAUUGUUGAGAAUUUGAUACGAAUUAAAAUUAUUAAUUGUGACAGGAGGUACUCUAUUAAUAAUAUGAAUAGCUUGUGCCAUUGCAUAGUGUCAAAAGUAGUUUGGUAUGUUAGCAGUGAAGAGAAGUGCACUUGCCAGAUAGCUUAAUAUUUUCUUUCUACCAUACUAUUUUGCUGUGGUGAUCAUUUAGCACAACUUGUUAGAUGCAAAAUUAGUUUUUUUGGUAGAAAUAUUUCAUCAAGAAUUUUGGUCCAUCGUUAGAUCUUACAACUUUAACCAUGACUCCUUUGUGUAUGUAUCAUUUGAAUAAAAUUUUUAAACAAAUUACUAAUUUUAAAUUUAUUUUUCAUGAAAAAUAAUCAAAUGAAUAUACUUUUAUCUUCAAUAGUGGUGAGAAAAUAUUUAUCGACGGAAGUAGAUAGACUAGAAAUGGGACCCUAAAUAUUAACAUGGAUCAAAUCAAAUAAAAAUUUAGAUUUACUAAAGUGAUUGAAAAAGGUAAUUUUUUUUGUUUAGCCAAAUGACAUGAAUCACAUGGUAUAUCAUUCUUAGGAUAUGUAAUGAAUGGAUGAGUUUUUUGUAAUUGUUAAAAUCUAUAAAAUGAAAUAUAUCCUAAUUUAGGAUGCCAAAGAACACUUUGUAAAGUAUAUGUAUGUGAUUUUUCUGAUUUUUCUUUUGCAGAUGCAGUUAUGGUAGCACUCACUAUUGCUUGGAAUUUCAUUGUAUAUAAUUUUCUUUCUAAUUAGUAGCUCCAAUCAUCUUCGAGAUAAGCCGCAUCUAUAUCUCACAGUCAUGAGCAUUGAACAUAAAUCAGUAAGAUAGUACAUUAGUUGCUUUUGAAACUGAAAUUAUAUUGCAUUUAAAAGUAGAUACAUAUAGAACUUCAGUCAAGUAGAAACUUUCUGAAAAAAAAAAAAAAACUAUUCUACAUACGGUUGUAACAGUUUCUAAACCAUUUGACAUAAGACUGGAUUGAUAUAUUUAAGGCGGCCACUCUGAUAAAGUUAUCAAAAACGUCUUUUUUUAAAGACGUUACAUGUGUCACACUACUAUUGGACGAAAUAUUAAACCAGUCAAUAAAAUAUUUUAAGUAAACCAAAAUAAAAUUGGUUUAUUAUAAUUAUCAGAUCCAAUUUGAUUCGAUCGGUUUAUAUAAUCUGAACCAAAUCAUAUUUAAAUCUUUUAUUAAAAUGACAAAUAUAUCCUUAACUUUUAUUUUGCAGACAUUUAAAUUUAUAAAAAUAUAAAAUUACAAUUAAGUCCUUUUUUUUGGUAAUACAAUUAAGUCCUUAAGAAAAAACCCUAAACUCUUGGUAGCCCAAGCCCAAGCCAAGGCAAACCCAAUCUCAAUGGCUCACCAAUUUCUCAAUCUAACCCCAAAAAAGCCAUAGCCCCAGCAAUCAGCAUCUCCUUCGUCUCCUUCGUCUCAUCUCUCUGCUCACUAUCGCGAUCUUAAGCUUUCUCCCUCUCUCAUCUCGGGUCUCGCACUCAAGGUUUUCAUCGCUCUCCGUGUCGCCAGUCGUCACCAUCUCGCACUCAGUCGCACUCGCACGCCUUCCCUGAGCUCGUUGUCGCCGGUGGCAGAAGCACCCAGACCCGGGACUGGUCGUCGUCGUCGUCGCUCCAUGGCUCCUCAACGUCUCGCACUUAGUCAUGCGCCUUCUCGCGCUUGUCAUUUCCAGCGGCAAAAGUAGCCGGUCCCGAGGUUGGUAGUCGUUGUUGUCUUCAUACUUUGAAUCUCGCCGUCAGCUUCCUCCCCGCCCUCAGAUUCCUUCGCCCAACCAGAAGCUGGUCCCCGAUUUGGUGAUUUCCACUAAAUUCCUCUGGUCUUUUUUUUUUUCAUUUUUGUUGCCCUAAUUCAUCAGUGCACUUUGAUUUGAAUUUGUUGCUGAAAAUAUAACUGAACUAGUUUUUAUUUUUGCUGAAAAUCAUCAUUGUCAUGAAUUUGUCAGUAUUUAUUACCACCGAACCUUGAAUAAUUUGUUGAGCUUGUUUCUUUGUUGCUUAAAAUCAUCACUAAGAUGAAUUUUGUACUGAUUAUCAUCAAUGAAGCUUGAAUUUGUUGCUGUCAUACUCAAAUAAUUACUUAGCUAAAUGUUUUUGUUGCUGGAAAUGUGAGUUGAAUAUAUUAGUGAUUGCACCUUGAAUUUGUUGUUGUCUUGCUAAAUAAUCACUUAGUACAUGAAAAUGAAUGUUAAAGGGAGAUUGCUGCCAGAAAUUAAUAUUUCUCCUUUUUUCGAUGAUUUACUGUGUAAUAUCAUGCUUAGUUAUGCUUAGAGCAGGACAGAUUUGUAUGGUUGUUCAUUUUUUUCGAUGAUUUGCUAUUUGUUACAUGUCUUUGGUUGCUACAAACAUGAGCUAAAUACAUAUGAUUCAUUGGUUAAAACAUUUUCUUAUUUUUUCUAAGCUUCCUCUAGUCUUUACGGCGAUUGUUUACACUUUUUAGUCUAUAUUUGUAUCCCAUUGAUGCCCGCCUCCCCUGGUAUUUAUUGUUUGCUUUUGACAUGUGUUCUAAGACUGAGUUUUGACCUUCAUCUUAAACAGAGAUCCUGCAAAUGUCUAUUAGUUUUUAACCUGAUUGCUUAUAAUUCUUAGCAUGAUACACCUCUCAAAUCUAUAAGCUGCUGUUCUGUUGCACAAAGUUUGUGAUGAGCGGAUAAUUUAUACGCUUUUUGGCAUUGUUUUUAGUAUGUUUUUAGUAUAUUUUAAUUAGUUUUUAUUAUAUUUUUAUUAGUUUUUAUUUAAAAUUCACUUUUCUGGACUUUACUAUGAGUUUGUGUAUUUUUCUGUGAUUUCAGGUAUUUUCUGGCUGAAAUUGAGGGACCUGAGCAAAAAUCUGAUUCAGAGGCUGAAAAAGGACUGUAGAUGCUGUUAGAUUCUAACCUCCCUGCACUCGAAGUGACUUUUCUGGAGCUACAGAAGCCCAAAUGGCGCGCUCUCAAUUGCGUUGGAAAGUAGACAUCCUGGGCUUUCCAGCAAUAUAUAAUAGUCCAUACUUUGCCCGAGAUUUGAUGGCCCAAACAGGCGUUCCAAGUCAGCUCAAGAAUUCUGGCGUUUAACGCCGGAACUGGCAUAAAAACUGGAGUUAAACGCCCAAACUGGCACAAAAGCUGGCGUUUAACUCCAAGAAAAGUCUCUACACAUGAAAGCUUCAAUGCUCAGCCCAAGAACAUGCCAAGUGGGCCCCGGAAGUGGAUUUUUACACUAAACACCCUAGCUUACUCAUUUUCUGUAACCCUAGGUCACCAGUUCACUAUAAAAACUACUUUUAGUGAUUCAUCUUGUACCUCAUGACACUCUACACGUUUCUUAUUGUAUUCUCUACGGCAUGAGUCUCUUAACCCCAUUGUUGGGGGUGAGGAGCUCUGCUGUUCUUCAUGAAUUAAUGCAAUUACUACUGUUUUCUACUCUAUCACGCUUGCUUCUAUUCUAAGAUAUUCAUUCGCACUUCAACUUGAUGAAUGUGAUGAUCCGUGACACUCAUCAUCAUUCUCACCUAUGAACACGUGCCUGACAACCACCUCCGUUAUACCUUAGAUUGAAUGCAUAUCUCUUAGCCUCAUGAUUCAGAUCAGAGUCUUCGUGGUAUAAGCUAGAAUUAUUGGCGGCCAUUCCUGAGAUCCGGAACGUUUAAACCUUGUCUGUGGUAUUCUGAGUAGGAUCUGGGAAGGGAUGACUGUGACGAGCUUCAAACUCGCGAUUGUUGGGCGUGUGACAGACGCAAAAGGAUCAAUGGAUCCUAUUCCAGCAUGAUCCUAUUUCACUGAGAGGACGGGAUGUAGCCAUUGACAACGGUGAUGCCCAACAUAAAGCUUGCCAUGGAAGGAGCCUUGCAUGCAUGAAGAAGAAGAUAGUAGGAAAGCAGAGAUUCAGAAGACAAAGCAUCUCCAAAGCCUCAACCUGUUCUUCAUUACUGCAUAACAAGUAUUUAUUUCAUGUUCUUUUACUUUUUACAAUUAAAUCUGAGAAUUAUUGAUAUCCUGACUAAGAGUUACAAGAUAACCAUAGCUUGCUUCAAGCCGACAAUCUCCGUGGGAUCGACCCUUACUCACGUAAGGUAUUACUUGGACGACCCAGUGCACUUGCUGGUUAGUUGUGUGGAAUUGCAAAAGUGUGAUUGUGAUUUCGUGCACCAGUUUGUUGUAGUUCUUUUUGUACAACUUUUCGUAGGACUUAAUAGUCUUUUCUUGGUCAUGUAGGACUAAUACUAUAAUGGUAUGAGGUUCUGUAGGUAGUUCUUAUCAAAUUCCUUAUAUAUAAUAACACAAACUAUGGUCAGUUAGAUAAAAAUCAAGACUUAGAACUAUUUAAGUAGCUAUAUAGUAUAGUCACUUCAAACUAAUUGUUCAUUGAACUGAAUGUGGAAUCCAAUUGUUAACAAUUUCUGCCUUUACCAAGUUUGAAUUAAUUUAUGGUACCUAUAUGCUUGUUGAACUAUCGACAUCUCCAAUUUUCCAUGGCCAUUAUGUCUGUAAUAACUUACAAUGGCCAGUUCAAGGAAUACAACUUAAGCCUUGAUGCCCACAAUAAUCUAACUUGGUCUCUGGGACGUGAAUUCAAUCUUUUGACAGUGACUCUGGACAAGGUUGUCAUUUCAUGAGUGGAAAAUAGUGGAUGCAUGUUAGCAUGAUAUAGUUAGAAAAACUUGAACUACCCUUACCGCUCUUUUUCUAUCCAAGGAAAUAGUCUACAUCUGCUGACAUGACUGUCAUAACAUAUAUAGAGGAAUUAUCGUUGUAAAUUUGUUCUAUUUUUCCUCCCCAAAAAUGUAUAUUCUCAUUUUUCUGAGAUACAACUCGGUCGCAGCUGAUGAUAUGUUGUAUUUAUGGAGUAUAAAAUUAUCUAUAAUAAAGAAUUUUACUGGCCUCAAUUAACGAAAUAUGGGGAUUUAACGAAAUAUGGCGAAAGUGCCUCCAUUCAAUCCGAGUAUAGUUAUUUGGUUACAUUGAUGGUCACCCAAGGGUGUAUUGGUAAAGAUUUUCCUUUAAUGAAACUGCGUUGCAAGUAUAGCUCUACCAACAACAAUCCUCGGGCGUCAAAUUUAGAAGAGGGAUUUGGUUGUCACAAGUUCAACCUCAAUAGAAAUAACCGAAGUAUUCAAACCUCGGGUCGUCUCAAAAGGAAUGGGCAAACAUGUGCUUCAACAUUGGUCAGAAAUCCGGGGUUGUGAGUUAUGAGCAUAAAAAUAAAUGGGAAUCUUAACAAGCAAGUAAUCUUAGAUUGCAAGAAACUAAUUCAAUUAACUAAGCAAUAUAUGAGUCAUUUCAAACUAACAAAGUAACAUCCAAUAUGAUUCUAUUCUAAUCUAAACAAGUAACUAUAACUAAAGCAAGUGAUUGGGAAUUUUGGUUUUCAAGUACGAAUAAUAAAAGCAACUCUUGACUAGGCAUGGGAAUUGGGGUCACCAUCCUUGUCUAAUAACCAUAUCAUGACAAUUAUAAGGAACCAAACUCAUUAAGUCUACUUCUAUACUUGAAGUACGUCAAAUGGUUUGGUCAACAUUAAUCCAUAAGUUCUAACCUUACUACUAAUUGACUUAGUAGAAAGUUAACGUCAAUGGUUAUAAAAUUGACCACUAAGGGCUCCCAAAUCAUCAAAUCCAUUAGACCCAAUGACUCAAGUUUACCCAAUUCCCUUGACCUAGGCCAAGAGUAAAGAGAACUACUCCAUAAUCAAAGUAAACAUUUCGUCAAACACAUGGUAAGCAUUAAUAAAAGACAUGUUCAAAAUAGCAAUUAAAUUGAAAUCAACAAGUACCCACUAACAUUUGUCAACAUACAAUCAUCCAAACAACAUAAUUAAACAUAGAAAUCAUCAAUAUAACAUCAACAAGACAAUAUUCACAACAUUCAUGGAAUGGGUAUAAAAUGAUAAUUGACAAGAAUUCUUAAAACUAUCACAAGGUAUAAGCAAAACUAUACUAGGAAAUUCAAAUUGAACAAUUAAAACUAGUAAUUAACAAGAUCCAAUUCACAAUUUAACAAGGGAAGAUCAAAUUAAAACUAGAUCUAGAGAGAAACAAGGGUUUCUCUCUCUAGAAGAACAAAAGAACCAAAAACUAGCUAAAAAUUGUGUCUUAGUGUAAAAUGGUUGAUCCUCCCUUUUUCCCGUAGCAUCCUUGGGUCUUUUUCAUGCAGAAACAGCUUGAAAUUGGGCCUGAUGAGCCUCAGAAAUUUCCAGGCACGAUUUCCUUUAAUGAGGUCACGUGCAGCUUCCCACGCGUGCGCGCCAUGUGCACGUGCGCAUCGAUAGGAAUCUUUUGAUCCGCGCGGAUGCAUCCAUCCUUGCGCGCCGCUUCCAGCCAACCUCAUCUACGCGUGCGCGUGGAGUGCGCGGGCGCGCCAAUGCUGCUUUUUCCAAAAUUUCAAGUCUUCAUGUUCCUCCCUUUUGUACAUGCUUUCUUCCUCUCUUCUAGGCCAUUCCUACCCUAUAAUUCCUGAAAUCACUCAACAAAUAUAUCACGGCAUCGAAUGGCAAUAGAAGAGGAUUAAACUAUGGCGAUUUUGAGGCAAAAUAAGCAUGUUUUUCAUCAUGGGGGCAAUAUUAGGAAGUGAACAUAAAACCAUGCAUUUCUUGUGAAUAAGUGUGAGAAAUAUUGACAAAAUCUCCCAAAUUCUACACAAUAUAAACCACAAAAUUGGGGUUUAUCAAAUCUCUCCACACUUAAACCAAGCAUGUCCUCAUGCUUAAAAUACAAAGACCAAAGAUCAUGGUGAGAAAGGGUUUAUGAAAUGCAAACUACCUAAGUGGAUGCAUGCAACUAAUGUAAAAUCAUCUACCUACUUGGUUAAGAGUAAAUCUAUCCUCCAAGAAUACAUGUGAGCAUAUAGGGUGAAAAUAGUACGUAAUUCAUGAAUCCUACCAAAUUGAACAUCACUUAGGGGUGCAUAUGACUUGCUAAAUGAACGCUUGUGAUAGCCGGGAACAAAGAAUUGAGCAUCGAACCCUUACCGGAAGUGUAUCCGCUCUAUUCACUCAGGUGUAUAGGGUUCGUUGCUCAAUCUUCUCCUAAUCAUGCUUUCCAAGAUUUGUCUUUCAUCUAAUAAUCAGCAAUCACUUAAUGCAUGCUUACAAGUAUCAUGAGGUCUUAUUCAUGGGUUGUAACGGGGCUAGGGUGAAGGUAAGGAUGUAUAUGGCCAAGUGAGCUUAAAAUUUGAGUCCUUGAUUAACCUAGGAUCCCACUAGACACAUAGAACAACCUAUACAACUAUAAUACAUUACCUAGCUACCCUUGAGUUUCACUUUCUUGCAUACUCAUGCAUUCUUUUUAAUUCACACCCAUUUGUAUUGUUUUCUUCAUUACUUUGUCUUGGGGUUUCUUUGUCCCCUUUGUUGCUUAUAUUAUUAUUUUUUUUAUCCCCUUUUCUUGGGGCCUUGUGAAUAAAAGUUUCAAUGUAUAUAGUCCAAUCAUUCAAUGCAUGAAUAUGUUCCAAAAUCCUAGAAUUUUCAAUUACACUACAAUUACACACCUAUAUAUCUACCCAAAUUUCCCAAGUAUACCCUAAUUGAAUGAUACACAUCCUAACUUACCUAAGCCAAUCAAGGAUCCAAAUUUAGGGACAUUCAUGGUUUUUCGCUUAGGGUUGUUGAUGUGCUCUAUUUAAGAACAAAGAAGGGUUUAUUAUGGGCUCAAAAUUGGUUAGCAAUGGUAGAUAAGAGGGUUAAGGCGAUUUGGGAAAAAGUGACUAUUGAAAUGAUGGCCUCAAUCAUGUAAAUGCAUUCAUACACAAAGUAAUGGACAUAUAGAAUCAGACAAAGCAAGGAUCACAAUCAUAGAGAGAGAGAGAGAUAUGCACACAAGAAUGGAAUUAAUGGUUAGAAGGUGUAACCAUGCAAUAGGCUCAAAACUUUCAUGCUUGUGUUCUUAGCUCAAUCACUAUGUUCCAAAAUACAUUCUUAAAGCAAGUUUACUGCAAAAAUUUUCAAAAAUUUGGUAGGGUAGGGUACCCCAAAACACAGUUUCUUGGAAAAGAAGUUAUUGUUUUGACCAAGUAACUCUAUAGAAACUAACUAUCAUGCAAGGAGUAUUUACAAGCAAAACUAACUACACAUGCAAUGUACUAACUACUAAGCAAAAGAUAAAUCCAUGGGUAUUGAAGGAAAGAGAUUGUUACCCAUGGAGAUCGGUCGAACGACCUCCCCACACUUAAAAUUUAGCACGGUCCUCCGUGCUAUGAACAAUGCGCAAAGGGCCGUCGGGACCGGAACCGUCACUAUCCUCUCCUUCAGAGCUCCCAUCACUCGGGUUUGAGGUCGAUGUGAAUAUUUUGGGUUCCUCCAUGCUAGGGGUAACACAACGCAGAAGCUUCUUGAUGUAAGUAUAUCGGCGUUGAUUGCGCCGCUCAUAUCUAUCAAGCUUUCGAUGAAGAUCUUCUAUCCUUUGAUGUGUGGAUCUUUGCCGUGGUGGUGAUGAUGAAGUGGAAGGAAUAGUAGGUAGAAGGGCUAUGUCAAGGCUUGGGUUGUUCAUGGAAAGAUGUAAGUAUUUUCCGGUUGGGACCACAUCGCCCUUAGUCGGAACUAUAAUCUUUCUGUCCUUUGCUUCCCAAGGAACACCCGCAGCAGCAACUAAAUCAGAUACUAAUGCUGGAAAUCGUAAAUUACCCCGGUCAUGAACUUGACUCAUCGCUUGCUUGACAAGAAGCGGAAUGUUCACCGGCUUCUCCGUGAGAACACACCAAACGAGCAAGGCGAGGUCUGCCGUGAAGGACGACUUGUGGGUGCUAGGUAGCACAUAGUGAGAUAGGAUCUGGGCCCAAGCUCUAGCUUCCACAGUGAGAAAGCGAGCAUCAAUGCUCUUGGGCCUCAUCCGGAGUCGACCUUGGGUCCAAAAUGUCUCUGGCUCAGCAAUGACUCGAAGGAUCGAGUCCCAAUCAAAUCCAAACUUCUCUGGCUGGCGUAAGACUUCUUGGUAGCCAUCCAUGUCACUUGGUACCGGUAGGACAUUAAGCACUUGCUGAAUAGCCUCUUCCGAAACUGAAACUUGCUUGCGGCGCAUGUACACCAAUUGAAGGGAGGAAAGAUGGUAGUUAGUGUAGAAUUCUUUAACCCAAGAGAGGUUGAUUUCCCUUGGUUUCCUCAAAAGAAACUCCCAUCCUCGUCGUUCAAUGCGGGGUAAAAUGCAAGGAGCAACCUUGUCCGGCGGAGCAAGUAGAUGCUCGGGAUUAUAGUUCCGAACAGCUAUGGAGGGGAACAUAAGUUCACAGAAGCGGUUGGGGAACCUUGAAGAAUCUUUCGCCGGCUUGCUCUUUUCCUUCUCAUCAAUAGGAGCGGGUGUCUUUGCUUUCUUAGUUAAGGAUCCGACUCUCGAUGAAGAGUGCGCCUUAGAAGUGGAUCUUUGGGGUGCCCUCUUUGCGGCUGGUUUCCUUGGAGUUUUUGCCUUGCCUUUCGCGGUGGCCAUCCUAAGAAAGGAAGGGAAACAGGAAAACAUUAAACCCAAAGUGUCAUUUUAAUAAAAACAUGCAAGUGAAGGAUAGGAAUCAUAAAGACAUGGGUCACAACACUUGGCAUGGGAUGCAAGAGGAAGUAAAGCAUGCAGUGGCAUGAGAGGAGUAAUCUCAAACAUCCAUAACAAAGAGCAAGUCAUAUUCAAUGAGUAUCUAAUUAGCAAGCAAAGUGAACUCAAUGCUUGUAGAGGAUAACAAGUGAAUGAGGAGAAGCAUACAAUUGAAAGUACAUUGUCAAAAGAAACCAAAAUGGUAUUCUUGCAUUUCCUCAAACACUUGGUGUGCAAUUAUUAAGCAAAGAGUAAUUAUGAGAUACUUAAUCAAUUUAAAGCCCAAAAUGGAACAUCAAUCAUCACAUAAACAUCACACAUUGGCAAAGAUAAGAAAAAAGAAUGAUAAAAGAUCUAUUAAAGCAAAUUAAACUCAAUUCAACAUCCAUGGAAAAAUAAGGAAAAAGGAAAAAUAAGCAAAAAAAAAAAGAAACAUCAUCAUGUAAGUAAAAGAGAAACUAAGUAAAGCAACAAGAAGCAUCUAACUAGAAGAAAUAAUGCAAAGAAAAUGAAAGAAAAGAAAUGAAAGAAGUGAAACCUUGAGAAGUAGAAAAGAACAAGGUUGAAUCUUCUUUUGUGAAGAUGAGAAAGAAGAUAAGAGAAGUGUAGUGCCACCAGAAGAGGUGGUUGUCGCCGGUGAGUGGCCGGAGACAAGGGUGUGGAUUGUGGAAGAAGAAGAAGAAGAGGGGUGUGAUGGAGGAAGAAGAAAAGUGGAAUUAAGAAAGAAAAGGGUUGGGAAUUGGGAAACAGAACAGGGCGCAAAGUUAUAAAACUGAUUCGCGCAACCGGCGCGCGCGCACACAGUGCGCUGGCGCGUCAGUGAGGGUGUUAGCAAGGGCCGCGUGCGCGGCAGUGGCGCGCAUGCGCGAGGGGAGUUGUGCCCCUGACACAGAAGUGGCACAAAGUUGGCAUAAGUCUCUGGAUUUUGUACCAGAGUUGGUGAAUGGCACAGGCGCGCGGACGCACACUUUGCGCGGACGCGUGCUUGAGAGAUUUCGCGGCUGGCGCGGGCGCGCACAACGCGCGAACGCAUCAGUUCUGGCAUCAGGUUGGCCCAAAUGUGGCACAACUCUCUGGUUUUUGUACCAGGGAGUCCAGAUGUCACCAUCGGCGCGCGCGCACAAUGCGCUUGUGCGUCGAUGGUUAAAUUGUAAUGGCACGCGCCGGCGGCAAGUACGCGGACACGUGAGUACCUGGCGCGAGUUGGGCACAGAAUGGGCAUAACUCUCGGGUAUUUGGCCCAAGAGGUAGAAUUGCGCCACACGCGCGCGCGCGCACAGUGCGCUGGCGCGUCGGUGCUCAUUUUUCAUUUUUCUAUCUCUUUUUUUUUCAGUAUAACAAGACCUAUUCUAACACAUUCUUGGUAGGUGCUUAAGCUAGUAGCCAAAGAGAAUUCUUCACAAUAUCAUUCACAAUCCAAAAUAUAGCAUUCUCCCUACUUCACUACUUCAUCCAUACCAAAAUGAGGAAAACUACAUUAACAUUCUAACUAUUCAACAAGAAGACUAAAACUAACAUUCCUAUGCAAUCAAUCAAUCAUCAAGAAGUCACAAAAUUCACAAGAAAUUGAAGGUUACACACGAGAUGGUAUAAACAAGGAAGAUCUUACCACGGUGGGGUGCCUCCCACCUAGCACUUUUCUUUAACGUCCUUAAGUUGGACGGUCCUUUUCUUAACCUUCUUCUCUCCUUGGUGCAUCCUCCAAUAGGUACACCUCUAGCUCUUUUGGGGGCUUGUAACCAUGAUACUUCUUCACUCUAUGUCCAUUCACUUUGAAAUUUGCUUCACUCUUGGGAUCAAACAACUCCACCACUCCAUAUGGCUUUAUCUCCUUCACCUUGAAAGGUCUUUCCCAUCUAGAGUGGAGCUUGCCAGGCAUGAAUCGAAGCCUUGAGUUGUAGAGGAGGACUUCAUCACCUUCUUGAAAGUCCUUCUUCCAGAAGUGAUGGUCAUGAAAUGCUUUGGUCUUCUCUUUAUAGAUCCGGGCAUUCUCAUAUGACUCAUUCCUCAAACACUCAAGCUCCUCUAGUUGUAGCUUCCUAGCUUCACCCGCCUUGACUAAAUCCAUGUUGCACUACUUUACCGCCCAAUAGGCUCGAUGCUCAAUCUCCACCGGAAGAUGGCAUGCCUUACCAUAGACGAUCCGUAAGGGACUCAUACUUAUCGGAGUCUUGUAGGCCGUUCUAUAUGCCCGUAGUGCAUCUCCUAACCGGAGGCUCCAAUCCUUUCUUUGUGGAUUAACCACUUUCUCCAAAAUCCUCUUAAUUUCCCGAUUGGACACUUCUGCUUGUCCAUUUGUUUGCGGAUGAUAAGCAGUAGCAACCUUAUGUGACACUCCAUAGCGCUUGAGCAAUGCUUCUACCUUCUUGUUACAAAAGUGGGAUCCAUGGUCGCUCACAAUUGCUCGUGGCGACCCAUAACGGCACACAAUGUGAUUCCUAAUAAAAGAAACAACGGCAUUGGCAUCAUCAAGGCGGCUAGGUAUGGCCUCUACCCACUUUGACACGUAGUCAACCGCUAACAGAAUAUACAGAUACCCACUAGAGUUGGGAAACGGUCCCAUAAAGUCAAUGCCCCAUACAUCAAAUAUCUCACAGAACAACAUAGGUUGCUAAGGCAUUUCAUCCCUUUAGGAUGUGUUUCCCGACCUCUGACACUGAUGGCAAGACACACACAACCGGUUAGCAUCCUUGAAUAAGGUUGGCCACCAGAAUCCACAAUCCAACACUUUUUUAGCGGUCCUUUGUGGGCCAAAGUGGCCACCACAUUCGGACGAAUGACAAGCUUCAAGAAUUGGUUGGGUUUCAGAUUCCGGGAUACAUCUUCGAAUUACUUGGUCCAUGCCUCUCUUCCACAAGUGAGGGUCAUCCCAAAUACAGUAUUUGGAAUCACUCCUUAACUUGUCCCUUUGGUUUUUCGAAAAGUUGGGAGGGAAGAUUUUCACAACCAAGUAGUUCGCCAUUGGGGCAAACCAAGGAAAGCUAUCCGACACAGAAUGCAAACUAUCCAAUGGGAAUGAGUCAUUGAUUGAAAAUGGAUCAAAUUUUAAAUUCUCAAUGCGGCUUAAAUGAUCCGCAACCAAGUUUUGAGAUCCACUCCAGUCCCUAAUCUCAAUGUCAAAUUCUUGCAAAAGCAAGAUCCAACGUAUGAGUCUAGGCUUUGACUCAUUCUUUGUCAAUAAGUACUUUAAAGCUGCAUGAUCUGUGUAUAUCACUAUCUUUGACCCUAGCAAAUAAGAUCUGAAUUUAUCUAAAACAUGAACAAUAGCUAAGAGUUCUUUUUCAGUAGUGGUAUAGUUGGAUUGUGCUGCAUCUAGUGUCUUGGAAGAGUAAGCAAUGACAUAAGGGAGUUUACCAUCGCGCUGUGCAAGCGCGGCACCUACAGUAUGGUUUGACGCAUCGCACAUUAUCUCAAAUGGCAACGUCCAGUUGGGGCCUCGCACAAUUGAUGCCGUGGUAAGAACUCUCCUUUGCUCUUCAAAAGCUUUCACGCAUUCACUAUCAAACUCAAAAUCCACAUCUUUUUGGAGUAGGCGCGACAAUGGCAAAGCAAUCUUGCUGAAAUCCUUGAUAAAGCGCCUAUAGAAUCCUGCCAAGCGGUCUAGCAUCUGAUCGAUGAAGGGUAAGGGAUAAUGGUCCUUCCGUGUAGCGGCGUUCAGUCUUCUGUAAUCAAUACAUACUCGCCACGCAUUUUGUACUCUUUUAGUGACCAUUUUACCGUCGUCCUUCUUGACCGUUGUAAUGCCCAACUUCUUGGGGACAACUUGAACCGGGCUCACCCGCUCACUGUCGGCUAUUGGGUAUAUGAUACCCGCAUCCAGUAAUCUGGUGACCUCUUUCUUCACUACAUCGAGGACGGUUGGGUUGAGCCUCCUUUGCGGUUGCCUAACUGGCCUAGCUCCAUCUUGGAGAUAUAUCCUAUGCAUGCACUUGCGGGGGUCAAUUCCCACAAUAUCCGCUAGGCUCCAUCCUAUUGCUUUCUUGUACUUUCUUAGAAUAUCUAGGAGUCUCUCUUCUUCUUCACUUGAAAGCUCACUAGCAAUAGUGACCGGAAAUCCUUGGUUGUCCUCUAAGAAAGCAUACUUCAAAUGAGAUGGAAGGGGCUUCAGUUCACUUUUUACUUCAAGCUGGGGCUCCUUUUCAUCAAGCUCAUGGAGUUCAUUCAUGAAAACUUUCUCAUGUUUAUCCUCUUGGUCAUUCGUCUCCUCAAUAAUAGGGUAGCACAACUUGUUGUGGUCUUCUUCUUGCACUUCUGCUACCACUUCAUCAAUUACAUCAUAUCGGAACACAGAAUGUUCUUCGGGAGGAUGUUUCAUGGCUUCCUCUAAAUUGAACUUGAUAGUCUUGUCUCCAACCUCAAAGGAAUAUGUGCCGGUGAAGGCAUCUAACUUGAAUUUAGAGGUCUUGAGGAAGGGUCUACCAAGUAGAACAGAGGAUGAGCUUCUAUUUUCUGUUGGGGGCAUUUCAAGGAUGUAAAAGUCAACCGGAAAAACCAAAUCCUUGAUCGCCACAAGUACAUCUUCCGCUAUCCCCAUCACCGUGAUCACACUUUUAUCGGCUAAGGCAAACCUUGCCGCCGACUUCUUUAAUGGAGCUAAAUUCAACCGCACAUAGAUAGAAAGUGGCAUGAUACUUACACAAGCUCCCAAGUCACACAUAUAAUCAUGAAAAGUGCAUCCACCAAUACAACAAGACACUAAGCAAGGUCCAGGGUCACCACAUUUCUUUGGAAUAGGUUCCAUCAAGGAAGAAAUUGAACUACCCAAGGAUAAUGUCUCCAAUUCUCCUAUCCUAUCUUUGUGUGUACACAAGUCUUUCAAAAAUUUUGCAUAAUUCGGAAUUUGUUGAAUAGCAUCAAGAAGGGGUAUGGUUACCUCAACCUUCUUGAACACUUGAAGCAUGUUUAAAUCGAAUUUCGGUGUUUUCUUCGCCUUCUUCACCAUGGAAGGGAAUGGAAUAGGAAUGGACUCGUCCACUAUAGCUUUUCUCUUGGGUUCCUUGAGGUUUACUCCUUCUUCUUCAUGCCUUUUAUCUACCACCUCCUCUUCAUGUGUAGCUUCAACAACCAUUUCUUCCUCAUGAAUGUCUCCCAUGACUCUUGGAGGUAUCUCCUCUAAUGUAGUUUCCGACCAUAGAGUGAUGGCGUUGAGACCGCCCUUUGGGUUUGGUUGGGGUUAGGAUGGAAGGUUGGAAGAACUUGAGGGUUGGUUGGUGUUGUUGUUGGGAGUUGGUGUUUGGUUGGACAUAGUCAUCUUUGAGAACAUGUUGGUGAGGUUAGCCAAUUGAGUGCCCAAGGCAUCGAAUUGAGCCUUGUUGCUCUUAUCUCGCUUCUCCAUGGCGGCUCUAAGCUCAUCAACUUGAUUGUUGGAAGAUGGAGGAGUUUGGUUUUGGUUUUGUUGUCUAUGGUGUGGUGCUUGGUACUUGGUGUAGUUGUUUUGGUUUUGGUUGGAGUGGCCUUGGUUGGCUUGGUAGUUGGUGUUGUUAUGGUGGUAUUGGGAUGAGGAUUGGUUGUUGUUGUGGGGAGAAGAAGAGUUGUUCCAUCUUUGAUUUUGAUUGCUUCCUUGUGCAUUAUCCCUCCACCCUUGAUGUUGAUUACCACCUUGAUGGUAAUUAUUUUGGCCUUAGGGUAAGGUGGACGGUUGUUGUAAUUCACAUUGGCUACUACAAAAGCAUGUUCCUCUUAAAUUUGAUGGCAUUGAUCGGUGUAAUGUGUGGUGCUAGAGCACAAACCACAAAUCCUAUGAGGGCCUUCAAGUUGAGCAACCGGAGGCGGGGCUUGGAUGGCUUGGAUGGAGUAGUAUUCCUUUUGAUCCUUUUGUAUCUAGGUGAGGAUGGUAGUCAUAUCCCCAAGUGCUUUGGUUAGACUUGAUUCGGAAGGAGAUGGGUCUACCACACCCUUGAGAGGAUUACUUCUCACCCUUGUGUGUUGUGUAGCCUCGGCAACAUCCUUUAUCAAAUUCUAAGCUUCUCCCUCCGUCUUGUUUUUCGAAAGGGAACCACCACUAGAAGCGGUAAGCAAUCUUCUAUCUUCCACACAAAGACCUCCGGUGAAGUAGCUAAUGAGCAAGUGAGUGUUCAUUCCAUGAUGUGGACAAGAUUCCAAUAGCCUCUUAAACCGAGACCAAUAUUCAUAUAAACUCUCUUGGUCUCUUUGCAUUAUGCCCGAAAUCUCUUUCCGGAUGUAGUCGGUCUUCUCCGGUGGAAAGAAUUUAUCUAGAAACUCUCUUCUCAAGAAAUCCCAAUUAGUAGCAAUCUCAUCCGGUAGCGAAUAAAACCAUGUCUUUGCUUGCCCUUCUAGAGAGAAAGGGAAGGCAAAAACCAUGAUAGCCACCUCAUCGGCUCCAUGCCUUCGAGCAGUAGAACAAGCAACUUGAAAAUCUCUUAGAUGUCGGAUGGGGUCUUGGCCCGGCAACCCAUGAUAUUUAGGAAGUAAAUGUAUCAAGCUACCCUUCAAUUCAAAAUUUGGAUCAAGGUUAGGAUACCUUGCUUGCAACGGUUGAAGUAUGAUAUCCGGAGCUCCUUGCUCAUGCAAAGUGAUCUGUCGUAGCUCCGCCAUGUGUGGCUCACCUGUAGGAUGUAAAGAUGUAUUAUUAGUGCCAACAGAAGAAUAGGAAUUAGCGGACUCCAAGUCACUCUCGGUACCGCCUAGUGAUUCGGUAUGUUCCUCAAGAGAGGCCGAAGUACUAGCCGUAUAGUCCAACCUCCGUCUAGCUUGCCGAGUAUGUAACAAAGUUCUUUCAAUCUCGGGAUCAAAAUUGGCUAAGCUAGAAUUCGGUUGAGACUGAGUCAUCAAACUUGAGAGUCAUAGCACAAAUAUAAAAGAAAUCUAAACUAGAGCUAAGUAUUGAAAACAAUUAAAAUAUCAACAAUAUUCACAUAUUCACAUAACCAAUAUCAAGGCCUAUGUUGCAACCAUUCUCCAGCAACGGCGCCAAAAAUUUGAUGGUCACCCAAGGGUGUAUUGGUAAAGAUUUUCCUUUAAUGAAACUGCGUUGCAAGUAUAGCUCUACGAACAACAAUCUUCGGGCGUCAAAUUUAGAAGAGGGAUUUGGUUGUCACAAGUUCAACCCCAAUAGAAAUAACCGAAGUAUUCAAACCUCGGGUCGUCUCACAAGGAAUGGGCAAACAUGUGCUUCAACAUUGGUCAGAAAUCCGGGGUUGUGAGUUAUGAGCAUAAAAAUAAAUGGGAAUCUUAACAAGCAAGUAAUCUUAGAUUGCAAGAAACUAAUUCAAUUAACUAAGCAAUAUAUGAGUCAUUUCAAACUAACAAAGUAACAUCCAAUAUGAUUCUAUUCUAAUUUAAACAAGUAACUAUAACUAAAGCAAGUGAUUGGGAAUUUUGGUUUUCAAGUACGAAUAAUAAAAGCAACUCUUGACUAGGCAUGGGAAUUGGGGUCACCAUCCUUGUCUAAUAACCAUAUCAUGACAAUUAUGAGGAACCAAACUCAUUAAGUCUACUUCUAUACUUGAAGUACGUCAAAUGGUUUGGUCAACAUUAAUCCAUAAGUUCUAACCUUACUACUAAUUGACUUAGUAGAAAGUUAACGUCAAUGGUUAUAAAAUUAACCACUAAGGGCUCCCAAAUCAUCAAAUCCAUUAGACCCAAUGACUCAAGUUUACCCAAUUCCCUUGACCUAGGCCAAGAGUAAAGAGAACUACUCCAUAAUCAAAGUAAACAUUUCGUCAAACACAUGGUAAGCAUUAACAAAAGACAUGUUCAAAAUAGCAAUUAAAUUGAAAUCAACAAGUACCCACUAACAUUUGUCAACAUACAAUCAUCCAAACAACACAAUUAAACAUAGAAAUCAUCAAUAUAACAUCAACAAGACAAUAUUCACAACAUUCAUGGAAUGGGUAUAAAAUGAUAAUUGACAAGAAUUCUUAAAACUAUCACAAGGUAUAAGCAAAACUAUACUAGGUCCUUUUUCCCCUAGCAUCCUUGGGUCUUUUUCAUGCAGAAACAGCUUGAAAUUGGGCCUGAUGAGCCUCAGAAAUUUCCAGGCACGAUUUCCUUUAAUGAGGUCACGUGCAGCUUCCCACGCAUGCGCGCCAAGUGCGCGUGUGCGUCGAUAGGAAUCUUCUGAUCCACGCGGAUGCGUCCAUCCUUGCGCGCCGCUUCCAGCCAACCUCAUCCACGCAUGCGCGUGGAGUGCGCGGGCGUGCCAAUGCUACUUUUUCCAAAAUUUCAAGUCUUCAUGUUCCUCCCUUUUGUACAUGCUUUCUUCCUCUCUUCUAGGCCAUUCCUACCCUAUAAUUCCUGAAAUCACUCAACAAAUACAUCACAGCAUCGAAUGGCAAUAGAAGAGGAUUAAACUAUGGCAAUUUUGAGGCAAAAUAAGCAUGUUUUUCAUCAUGGGGAAAUAUUAGGAAGUGAACAUAAAACCAUGCAUUUCUUGUGAAUAAGUGUGAGAAAUAUUGACAAAACCCCCCAAAUUCUACAUAAUAUAAACCACAAAAUUGGGGUUUAUCAUACAUCUCGUGGUUAAUGUUGUUAGCCUCUUGUCUAAAGCUCUAAUGUAAAGCUUUGAAUCUUUUAAUUUGUUAAAUCAUGUAAAGGGAAUUCAAUUCAGUCAGUUAUAAGAUUUCAAGUGUGAUUAAACAAAAAGGUGUACGGUGUAUUGACGUUUCUCAAGAAUCGCGUUUAGAAAAAAAAGGAGCGCUUACAAAAUUAGAGAUUGCUUUAUUUUACACGAAAGUAAAAGUGUAAAACUCAAGACUAAAAUACAACUAGUUCUCAUAAUAACUGGAAAUUACCUAGAAAUUACAGAGCGAUCGCUUCAGUUUUAAAUAUUUCUGUUGUUACCUAACUAGACGUACACUCAAACAAUACAAAAACCUAGUAGUCAUUUAUUUUUAAAGAAAACUUAUUGAUACAAUGACCAAUGUCCGACUACAUAGGGAAAUUUUUAUUUUAAUGUAAGUAUAAAGUUUUUUAAGAUUAAAAAAAAUUAUUGAUUAAUGCAAUAAUGAAGAAUUAAAAAUAAAAUUAUAUCAUAUCUAACACAUUAGGAAACAAAAUAUCGGUACAACUGUAUCACAAUUGUCUUCUAUUCCUGCUAGAAUGAAAACCACUUUAAGUGGCCCCAAAUUUUUUAUGGCAUGACUAUAACAUUCCAUCACGAUAAAUGAAAUGGCCACACACAGCUUCAGUAUAUUUCUUACUGACCCUCUAAGAUAAUUCAAAUCUAUACAUUUAUUAUAUAUUGUCCAAAAUAUUGUAUAACUAUGUUUCAAUUUAAUUAUGUGCCUAGCACAACUAGCAAAAUUCAAUUGCAACUUGAAGAGAGGAUGCAAGUGAGGAGAGCAAAAAAUGGGAUCCAUGAGGUUGAUGGAAAAGACAAGAAAGCUAUAGACAUAGCAUUGAUUAGUAUAUAUUCAGAGUAACUUAAUAUUACAUAAGAUAAAUUAAAUUCUAUGAAUCCAUAGGAGAUGAUUUCACGUGACUUUGUUAAUUCAAUUGGAUCAGUUGGACUAGUUAUAACACUUUAAAUAUAACAUUUUAUAUGAAAAAUAUUUUAGUUUAAUAAUUUAAACCAAUCAAACCUUUUCAUUAAACAAAAAAAUCAGUCAUUUUUAAUGUAAGAAUCUUUUUCUUAUCUAAUGAUUUUGCUAGUGUAUAUAUCAAUUUUGUGUUGUUUUACUUAAAUCAUGGAUUAUUAAUUGAAAUCCUUAAUUACUUUUUUUUCUUUGAACGAUAAUCAAUCUUUAAGAAUGAAAUCACAUAGUUUUUAUGUCAAAUUUUUCUUUCCUUUUUCUAAUGAUAUCAUCAAUUUUAAUUAUAUAUGAAAUACAAAAUAUAUAUAACUUUUCUUUAUAAAAAUGACCAAUAUCCGACUACAAGUGAAAAUUUUUAUUUUAAUUUUAGUAUAAAAUUAUAAUUAUUAAAAAAAUUAUUGAUUAAUGCAAUAAUGAAGAACUAAGAAUAAAAUCAUAUAAUAUUUAAUACAUUAGGAAACAAAAUAUCGGUAUAACUAUGUAAAUUACAUUAAUCACGAGAUUUUGAAGCAUGAAUAAAAUUUAAAAUAUUAUUCUAUUCUCAAAAUUCAAUCUAAAAAUUAUGUUUAAUAACUUAAUUCACUUAAUUAGAGUAUAUUCAUUAGAAUUAUUUUUGUAAUAAUAGCUAAUGAAAAUAAAUUUAUUCAGGAUCAAGUUUAAAAUAAAAUAAUAGCAAUUAAUAUGAAUUUAAGCAAGUAUUAAAAUAAAAUAAUGAUAAACUAUUGUUGUAUUGAUAUAGUGGCAUCCUGAAUUUGAUUUGUUUAUAGAUUUAUAACUGAGUUAAGGAAGAACGAUAGCCAACUCAAACUUACUUCGUUAACAGUUUGAUAAGUUAAAGUGAUGAUGUUGAUGGCAUAUUUUGAACUUUAAUUUGAACUUAUAUAUUAAUGUGAAUUUAAUAUGGUACUGAAAAAAAAAAUAAGAUUUUUUUUAUGACAUAAAAGAUAGCCAAAGUAAGAAAAAGAGAAAACAAAAAUUUCAUGUCUAGGACGAAGACUGGGAGACUGAGACUCAGUAUCAUGUUUGUUAGUUCAGAAAAUAGUACUAAAAUUUUAGUAUCUGUUCCCAAAAUUUUAGAAGUACCUCCAAAAAGUGGAGACAGGAGACUGAAAUUUGGUGGGACGAAGACUAAAACUUUAAUAAUAUUUUACACCUAAAAUAUCAUCAUUUCAAUUAAUUAAUUUCAAGUUUACUCUGUGUACAAAUUAAAUUAAAGCUUUAUUCUUAUUUUAGUCUCUGUCUCUCAAUCUCAGUCUCUCAGUCUCUGUCGCUCUUCCAAACGCUACCUAACAUAAGCGCUGACGAAAACAAUGGUGAAUAUUAUCUUAUCCGCACUGUCAUCGCAUCGGAUAAGAUCCACACUCUAAAAGGAUCGGUGUGGUUGUAGGACGUAACAAAUUUUCUGUUGGUCUAUGAUGGAUACCAAUCUAGAGAUACCAUUUUAUCAAUACUCUAAAAAUAUAUUUGUUUCUUGAAUAUGAUAGAAAAAAUAGGUUUAAAAUAAAGAAAUAAAUAAAAAAUAACCUAAAAAUAUAAUCUUUUACAAAAAAGAUUAAUAUAUAUAAAAAAAUAAAAAUAAAAAUGAAAAUAAAAAAUAUGAGAUUUUAUUUUAAUUUUAAAAUAAAUGUAUAAAUAAAAAAAAUGCAUUAGUUAUUUGGGAAAUUAUGAAACCCUACUAGCUACUAAACUCUUUGUUUUCAUCUACACUGUUUCAUUUCUUCAUUUUUACUUUCACAUUUUCCUUUUUUCCUUCCCCUCCAUCCACUUCUCAGAUCUCUGAAUCCCCAAUCUACUUGACCAUCACCACUGCCGUUUCCUCUUCUCCGGUCUCGCAUUCCCAAUGCCUCCCCACAUCGCGACAGUCUUCUAUUCUCUUCUCCAGGUCUCGCAUCCCCAAUGCCUCCCCACAUCCCUUCGUCCCUUCAUUUCACCUCAACAAUUGCAGCCACUGCCGUUGAGAUUACGGAGACAAUAUGGCCUACGCAUAACAAUUGCAGCCACAUCCCUUGGUCCCUUCUUUUCACCAUUUCUGAGUGGUGGUUUGUUAUUUCUCAUAGCAACGAUGGAGAUUCAUGGAAGCAGCCACUCUCAUAACAAAUGGGUAAAUUAGAAUUUCAAUAUAAGAUCUUUAAUUAGAAUAUAAAAUCGUAAAUUGGAUUAAUUUUAUUAUUUGGAGGAUAUUUUUAUAAAAAUUACUAGAUUGAAUUUGAUUUUGAAUAUCAGAUUUGAAAUUAGAAUAUUGUUAUUAUUUAUUAGGAUAUCUUUAUAAUAAAAUUAGAUUUUUGCACCAUUUUUGUUGAUUAUCGCUAUAAAUAACAGUGUUUUACGUCAUGUUUUAAAACUAAGCACUCCUUUUUUUCAGGUACAGUAAACUGGAGGAGCAAAGAGGAUGAGUAAGGUAAUCAUACUUGUUUUUGUUAAAUAAAAAAUAUGAUUAUCAAUCUUUUGUAAUCUGUUUUUAUCUUUUAUUCUAAUAUCAAUAUUGAAAUUUAUUUGGUUUGACUAGCAAACACCGGCAGCCUCUGUAACUUUGAAGGGAGAAUCGAACAUGCACUUUUCUGCUUUGGAUGAGAAGGUAACGUAUUUUUUUGCUGUCAUAUCCGAAGAUGCCUUGCUUUUUUAGCAAGUUUUUUUUUAAAGUGUGUAGUUAUCUUUUGUGAUGUCUAGAUUUGCUGUGUUGUUACCUUAUUAUUUAGUAAUGCGUGUCUUAUUUUAUGGCAUCUUGAAGCUUGGAAAGGGUGUUGUCGAGGCAUUGUCAGCAAUAAUACGCAAAGUUGUUGUGAAUGGAAUAACAACGGUUCUGCCAAAGUUUGUGGAAACGGUUGGUUCCUCAUAAAAAAUUGAGAGUCACGGUGUCAAGCUUUUGGAUACUGCUCCAACUGUUACACCACCGUCAGACAGUUUGAAAUGCUUCCUUGACGCCAACCCCACAAUGUAUUUGGGUGAAGAGCCAGUAACGAAAAAAAGGACACCGACGUGCAAAGGAAAAAAGCGUGAAUUACCGGUCUCCGAAGUUAAGGUUUUAUAUUUUUUUAACAAAUGUCACAAUUUGUUUUUUAUUUUUAAUUAUUGUUAUUAAUUUUUAUAAUUAUAUUUUUUAUCAUUAUUCUUUUUUCUUAAAUCCUUUUAAAUAAAAGAAUAAAAAUAAACCAAACUGUUACCCUUACUUCUUAAAUUAAUUGUCAUGUUUUUUGGAUUUGCAGAAAGAAUUACAUUUUGGAGAGAAGCUUCCUCCAGGCCGUUCAUGGCUUUAUUACAAUAAUUACAAUCCAAAUAUGGAUGGAGAUGACAUGCCACAUGUAAGUUUUGGUCUUUAGGAUAACAUUGUUAUUAAUAGAAUUUUGUGUAUACACUUUGACUAAAUAAUUAAUGUUGACAUUGUUUUUAUAGUGUUUGGACUUUUUAUUUCGACCAACUAAAGAGAUAAAAUUUUUUGAAUAUGAGCUGGCCAUUACUGCUUACAUUUUUGGAAACAAUUUGGAUCCAAAGUAAGUAAAAUUAAUUUAUUUCUCAUUUUAAUUGUUGAUUUGUCAUGUAAUUAUUUUUUUAACAUUUUCUAACACUAUAGUAUAAUAUUCUUUUACAUGAUUUAAGGGAAGUGCUUAUUCCAGACGAUCAUUGUAUGGGCACACGUGAGACUCUUCUGACUGUUAUGCCCGGCAAGCCAAUAAUUGGUGAUGUAAGAAUCAUUUCAGCAGUAUUUCUUUGUUAUGCUUGCAAAUUUAUAAAAUUUGGAUUAGUGCAACAUAACCGUGAUUGUCUUUUAUCCAUAGGUCCUUACCUUAGUUUGUUCGAUGAUGACCAAAAGGCCAUUUGGGCCAAAUAAAUUCAAAUUAGACAACAAAUGAUUUUUGCCACCGACAUUCUCUGUAAGUUUAUUAGCAAUUCAAAAUUUACUCUUCAAUAUAAAUAUAUCUUCCUAGUUAAUUUAUAAAUAUAAUAAGAUUCCUCACUUAGUUCAAUAUGCAAGGUAGCAAAUUGUUUUAAGUUCGAAACAGAAAUGUUCCGGCAUAAUGAAAUACAUCAAGGAUAACUUUAUGGGAGACCUCGACGGUUUACACGAGGUUCGUUAAUUCCGAUCAACAUUCAAUUAAUUGGAAUAUUAAUAUUUCAAUGCUGUUUUUAUUAAAAAAUAUUUUCUGAAUGUUGUAGAUUUUUGUGCCAAUUCACCUUAAUGGUCAUUGGUUUUCUCAUAGUGGUUAAUUUGCUUUAUGAAACCGUGAGAUAUAUGGACUCGUUCAAGCGUGGUACAUCGAUGACAGAGCGUAAGAAAGUCAUUGACGAUGUGUUAACUUAUCUUGAGAAGUUUGUAUCCGACAAAAACUUCCAAGAAACACCUUCACAUAAAAACCUUCAAUUUUCUAAAUAUAAAUUCUCUAAGUCAGCUGUCCCGCAACAAAAGGCCAAGUCGUAAGUUUAAAAAUAUGAAUUUUUAGAGUACAAGUUAAUUUUUCUGGCUGUUUGUUCUUUUAUAUUAUUGCUUUGUUAAUGUGUGCCUUGAAUUGUGGUGAAGGAAUGAUUGUGGUAUUUGGGUCACUGAAUGGAUGAUCCUCAACCACUAUUGGGGCGUCAAUAAGCCAUGGGUAGGAAAAUCGUCUAUGGAUUUUAUAAUGUUUAGUUUGUUGGGUUUAUUUAAUUAAAUAAUAUCAUUGUAACUGUCUGUUAGGUUGUCAAUGAUUACUCAAGGAUGUGAUUGGCUGUAGAUUUGGUGUACAAAUGGCACAAUCCGAAACGGGAUAUGAUAAAAGAGCUUGCUGUUGCUGACUGGAAUAAAAAGAUGCAGCAGUCUGUCCUUCAAACUUAGGAUUUUAAGACGCCUCUAGUUAAAAUUUUAUUAAUCGUAAUCGUGUAUUUUAAGAACACAUUUAUUUAGUUAAGUUAUGGAUUGAUUAGGCCAUUUUAAAUUUGUUUGAAGUACACUUUAUCUUUAUAUUUAAAUCUAUAAUAAUUUAUAUAUUACUGUUUUUGGACUAUUUAGAUAUAUAUUGUUCUUUUUUAUUUAUAAUAAUUUAUACAUGAUCUUUCUAGCAAUUGUUUCAAUAUUAUUGAACCUAACCUAAAUUUUAAGUUCAGUAGUAUACUCUAUAAUUUAGAUAUAUAUUAUUGAAUGGAUGAGAAUUCCUUUAACCUUCCAUGAUGCAGUCGCAGUGGUUAUGGUAACAACAAUUACUAUGUUAAAAAUCUGAAGUGCAUAUGGCAGAUAUUGUGGUGGCAGGUACUUUUGCAUUUUAGUAAUAAGGAAUGGUUAGGGUGAGUUAGGUAAUUCUGUUAUGGCCAUUAUAGAUUAUUUGCAUUAUAGUGUUUCUAUUCAAUUUUUUGUGUUACAGCAUAGUACUAUAUACUUAUCCUUUGUGUUUGUGAGAAAUCUUUUGAGUGCAAACUGAAACAGAACUUUGUGGUUGUGGCAGCCUACAAUAAAUCCAAUUUCCGCAGCUGCUGCUAGUAGUGCUGCAAUUUUAGAAAGGGCCCCAUCUGUGGUAGCUAUGGAUGGACUGGCACCAUUUUUCCUGCAGUUCCUCUUUUGAAAUUUAUUUAUUUAUUUCUGUAGAUCCUUGAAGCUACCUAAGAAUGUACGAGUAACCAAGGUAUGUUCUUUACCUUAGGCAUACAAUAUUGGAAGUUUAGUGAAACUUAGUUGUUUUAUAAAUCAUUUUAAUAUCUGGAUAUAUUUCCCUUUUUUAUAAAAGAAAUUUUAGUAUGAAGAGAAGAAAGGAAAAAUAAAAGAAAAAUAAACCUCACAUGCAAUUUCCUGGAUAAGUGCUACCUUUGGUGGAUAAUGUUAAGCCCUCCCUCAAGUUUCCUUCUUCUAACCCCCUUACCCUCUUCAAACUAAGUAAUAUGAUCAUCUCUAUCCCUAUUAUGACAGAUGUCAAGGUUGAUAUACACUAAUUCAGGGAAUGCUAUUCUGGCAUUAGCUUCAAAUUCCAUUCAUCUGCAACCUUUCCUGCUUUCCAUCCUCAGGAUAACAAUAUCAUUGCUAUAGGCAUGGAUGAUUCUUCAAUUCAGAUAUAUAAUGUCCGUGUAGAUGAGGUAUGAUUGAUGUUCAUAAACUGUUUUUGCUAACUUAUGAUUUGUGUAAUUUAGUGUUUAUGCAUAGCUUUCUUAUUUGCAGGUUAAAAGUAAACUCAAAGGCCACACUAAAAGAAUCACAGGUCUUGCUUUCUCUCAUGUAUUGAAUGUCCUAGUUUCUUCUGGGGCAGAUGCUCAGGUAAUAGUCGUUCAGUGUAGAUUUGCCUCCACAAUCUGUUGAUUAAUUUUGCCUCCAAAAUCUGUUAAUGCCUUGUUUGAUGGAUGUUUUAUCUAAGUUUGCAAGACAUUCCUUUCCUUGCAUUAUUAAUUUGUUUUAGUUAUAAUUUUGGAAAUACAGAACAUUUUAUAGGUACAAAUUUCAUGUAGAAUUGUUUAAUUUAUAAUCGUUAUUCAUUCUCUAUUGGAAGCAAGCAACUUGAUACUCUGCUUUGAAGUCCUUCAAAGUCCACAAUAGUUAUAUAUGUGCUGCAAGAGACUUAUGUGAAGAUAAUUGAGUAAAGAUAUUCCAAAUUGUUUCGGUAACAGCUUUUUAGGCUGCCUUGAGCUUCCAAUUCCAAGCUUUUGAGUUUCACUAUUUUUUCACUCUAAAAUGUCUGUUGAAUUUAGAAGUUAAUUAUCAUUGACAAACAUUGGAUUGAAGUAAAUUAUCAUUAAUUAUUAUCUGUGUAUUGUGUUUCAGCAAAAAGAAAGUUUUGAUGAAAGCAACAAUGCACCAAUUAGAAUGCAGCAAGGAGUCUCCCAAUGACGAGGAUUGAAUACAGCAAGAAUGCAACAUUACAGCAUUCUAUAAGUAGUUGAAGCUCUGAAGAAGAAGUAAAGAACAAGUAAAGAACAAGGACAAGUAAAGAAAAAGCUUUGUAAGCCAUUAGAGAUAAGAUUUUGAUUUUGAUUUUGUUUUUGCGUGUUGAAGCUCUAAAGGAGUGGCUGCAUUUUAUAGUUCAGACUUUGGUGUAACUAUGGCGGUGAGUUAAAUGUUUCUCGUGGAAUGCAAUGGCAGUUGCCAACGACUGUGUGAUGGAUGGAGCCUCUUUGUCUUUAGUAGUUGUUAUUUGGUUAAAAUGGUUAGUGUUAUAUGGCCUUAACUUGUAUUACAUGCUAUUUUUGGAAGAUAUUCACCAAUCUCAUAGUGGCUACUAAAUGUAACAUUCACAUGGCUGAGUUGUGUGCUGUAAAAUAUCAAGAAAACUAUGAAUCUUGGAUUUACCUCCAGGUACAAAUCUAGUUGUAAAAAUGGUGAAAAAAUAGUGUUCAAACAACAGCUGGAAUUAUGUAAAUCAUGCACAUAUGCAGAAACAAUCUUUUUAUAAAAAUACCGAGUGAAGAGUACUGUUAUUUGAACAUCUAAAAUUUAGUGAAGCUUUCAAUGUACCUAGAUGAUUAAUCCAAUAUUGAGUUCAUAUUAAUACUCAGUUUUGUGUAAAACAGUGUCAUGCAGCAUUUCAUUUAAAAAAAAAACACAAUGUUCUUUAAAGGCUUCUGCUUUCCACUUAAACACAAUAAGAGUGCAAGCUUGAAACCUAGCCACUAAUUUAAUAAAAUGUUGAGUUCCAUAAUAAAAUCUUAACCGUGAAACCCAAAGCCACUUUAACGGUUGGGAAGUGACAUUGGAAGUUGAACCACCUCAUAAUAAAUAAAUAACACAAAAUCCAAUGUAAAGAAGUAAAUGAAAUUUAUUUCACACAACCAAGCCCUUUCAUAUGCCAGGGUUAGCCUUGGAUAAGCCACGUUGAACUGGGGGCUAUGUAUACCGAACUAUAACUCGUCAAUAAUCAUUUAAAAGCUCAACCUGUCUCCCCCAAAUCAGGCCAAGCUUGGGGCUGUGAUAUGACCAGUAAAAGUCGGUUACGAGUUAUAGCUCGGUAACGCAUAAUCCCCGAUUGUAACCGAACAUGCAGAAUAAUCAGCAUUUAUUUUCGACCAAUAACGUCGGAUACGCAGUUAAUUCUCGGACGUUACAAGAAAAUGAUCAGCUUCAUCCAACCAGAUAUAAGGAGAAGGGCAAGAACCGAAAAGGUAUUCAAUCUUUUCCAAAGCAAAUAUAUACACAUAUAUUUCUUAACUAACUUGAGCGUCGGAGGAUCUUUGCAGGUACCCACCACCUCGGUUCUUCCAUCUCUGACGUAUUUCGUGUUCCACCUUGGGAGUCUGCCGACCUUCAUUGGAGAACGACCUAUAGCUCGGCACAAAUAGGCAAGAACACACAAGAAUAGCACUAUACUGUUGCUGAAUUCAUUUCGUUUAGUGACAUAACUUGAGCCUAGUUUUUUACACUUGAGUAACUAAAUAAAAGAGCAUCAAAACUACUGAGAUUUUCCUCCUUGAAUUCCCUGUUUUGACAAAGGUAUUACAAUUUUAUAAUGUUCUCAUCAAACCAAUAAAUAUUCUAUGAGGCUUGCUUUUGCUUUUCCUCAGAAAAUCUAGGAAGUUGGACCAAUGAGUUUUCUCAGGUGACACCUUCCAAACUCGACCAAUUUUGAUCUUCAGCGGCUACUACUGCUGAAGCUCCAUCCUCACCAUCAACAGAUAUUCCUCCAUAUGUUUGAUUUUCUUCCGCGGUUCAUAAGUAGCCUAAAAAGAAACACAGGAACUAGUUAAAAUUUUAAAUGUUGCAUUCAAAUUCACCAUAUCAUAUGUCUAUUCACUUACAAAAGUAAACAUACACAUAGAUGAGAAUGACAUGCUUUUCUUGCUUACAUGGGUAGAACUAUUAUGCAUAGCAAAAUUUUCCUACAGCAAGUUAUACAUAGCUUAAACUAAGUUACUUUGAUUUGAUGACUUUCACAUGGACCAAAACAACAAAACAAGAAAAAACUAUGCAUCUAGGAAACAGAAAAUGCUGCAAAUGCUCUAUGCUGAGAGACUUUAGCGAUAACUGUAACAUUACUGUGGCAACUGAGACCACAAGAACAAAUAAAAGCAAAUAUAUUUUCGAAAGUCUUACUCCAUCCGAGGCAAGAACAAUGAACUCGUCUUUGUCUGUAAGAAGCCGGUGAGAAAAUUCUGGUAUAGAAAUGACACCGUAAUCCUUCAAACAAAAAUCGCCAAAUGCUCUAGCCAUUGCUAAUCUAGGUGCAUCAUCAAAAGGUAACCACACCCUUGGAACUUCUGGUUCAUCUUGCAAGGCAAAUACCUUGCCCUUGCACCUUUUGAUUCUUUCAGCUUCCUUGUAAAAAUUCAGAUAAGAUAUCUCAAAGCAAAAACAUAGACUGAACUGAGAAAGGAUGAACAAUGAUGACAAAACUAAGUGAUAGAAUAUACUAAAACUAUGUAGGAUGAUUGGUCCCUCCUCAAGAAUCACAUUGACAACAUCAAACUCUGAGGCUCCUGACAUUAAUUUAAUCCAUAAACUAUGCAUUGGAAAACUAAACUUAAGUAGAAAAAGCAGAGAACACAAGAGGCUUCAAUUUUCAAAAGUGUUAACAACUAAAUUUCUAUGCAUUUUCUUUCACAGAACAGAACAUAAAUCUUCAUAAAAUAGAAUAUCAAAAUAAAGAGCAAGGCAACACACUUGUGAUAGUGUCCAAGUUUUCUCAUUCCAUAGCAAGGAGGAAGAAUAUAAGGAACAAAAACCAAUCUUUUUUAGACGGAUUUAGAUUGAUGAUAUUCAAAUUUUAUUAUCAAAACUAAUGAGGCUUGAUGUAAAACACAAGAAAAUAUUUGGAUAUUUAAUCUGUUAUUGAAAUAUUCAUAGCCAACUAAGACAAUAAACCUGUCAUGACAAUUGGAAAGUAAAAAAAGAAAAUAAAUCAGUUUAACAAUCUGUUACUGCACCUAUUUCAGAAGGUAUUAAAUUGCCUAAAAUGCUCAAACAAUGAUUCAAGAUAUAAAAAAUUCUCAUGGAGUACAACCAAACAUUAAAUUGCUACUGGUUUUUCUUUGAUACACGGUCUAGCAGUCCCCAUCAUAUAUCAACCUCAAUGCACUACUGCAUCCUAUUGAACUUCGGAUAUUGUCCUUGUUGUACAACCUGUUCUCCACAGCACAAACAAAUUUGAGAGAAAAAGAAAGGAAUUCAGCAAAUCAUAAUGGAUAUCAAAUAGUUUAAAAUUUACUAAUCACUAAGUUAUAACAAUGCAAUAAUUCAUCUCUUAUUAUUGAUACCUGUAAUAGCCACUGAUUACUUCCAUAUGGUGGGAUGGGAGCCCCAUGGCUAUUAAUCAAUUCUGAGUCACCUAGCCCAAACCCUAACUGCAUAGAUGCAUUUACUUCUGUAUUUGGCACUGCUAAUGUAUCUUGAGAAGUCAUAGUGUCCUUGAGAAGCUCUUAAGAAAAAAUGAUACAUGCAGUCAAAAUUUCUAUCAAGUAUAACUACAACAUAGAAUUUACCAGUUUAUUUUAAUUCGUGUAACCACUAUUGUAAUAUUGUAUCUUACUAACCUCUUCUGUACCGAAGCUAGCUUGCGUCCCUUGAGAAGCCAUAGGAUCUUUGGAAAGCUCCUGUGACAAAAGAAGGCAUAAACUCAAACUUGCUAUCAAGUAUAACUACAACAUAGAAUUUAACAGGUUAUUUUGAUUCAAGUAAAGCAUAAUGCCAUUUUGAAUUUGACUAACCUCUUCUGCACCAAAGCUAGCCUGUAUGCCACCACCAAUCUUAUCACCCAAAUUGUCACCCUCAUUCUUCACAGGACAAUUCUUCUUUACAUGACCAGCAUUGUUGCAUUUAGUGCACCUCCGUUUUUCUCUCUCUUUUUUUCCCUUUGGUGCACCUUUUGUCUUGACAACUGAAGGGUCACCAACAAAGUUCGGCAUGGGAGAAUCUCUUCUUCCUCUUUUCAAGCACGACUUUUGCUCUAGUGUUUUGGUCAAACGAGAGACUUCAUUCAUAGUGUCAUGGAAAGAAGGACCAUCUUGAGCUCCUAAGAAUACCAUCCACGUAGCUGCCAUUGACAAUGCACCAUAGCGCAUUAAAAAUUCUCUUUCUCCAUCUUGCACAGUGCUUCCAGCUGAACUUUCGUCCAGAUACUUUUUGGCAUCCUUGGACCAUCUUCUCAAAAGAAGACUUUCUGGAAACUUCUGUAAACCUACCCUUUUCAUGGCACAAAACAUGUGGCUACAGGGAAUGCCUUCACUACUCCACCUACUACAUUCACACUCCAUAUUCUCGGUGUUGCGCUCAUAAAGUACGGUGUAUAUAUGUUGUCCUCUGUCAUACUCCUUAACUUUUAAAACAACAGUAGUUGAUAUAUUUUCCUAAUUUAUAACAUCUAAUGCAACCACUCCUUCAAUCUCUGUUUUUACUUUGCCAAACAUCUCCCGUGUGUAAAAAUUUGCAGCACAAAGCUCCAAUGCAGCUAAGCGAGUUGUUAACACAGGCUCUCCGUACACCGUCUUAAAUCGAGAAACUAAUUUGUUGUGUCUAUAAUCCCUAAGAGCAUGUUCAAGAUUCUAGACUAGCUCUAAAAGACUUUGACGAAUGCCAAUAAACCUCUUGAUGAAGUUGUUUAUCCCUUCACACCUUGAUGUUGUUCUAAAUCCAGCACAGAAUUUAUCUCACAAGUAGGUGCUUGCCCAGCUUUUCCUCUUUUGAUACUCAUUUAGUACCCAUUCAUUUUCCUCCAACCCAUAUUUUUUUAUCAUAUUCUCCCAAUAUUCUUCAAAUUCAUUCGGAUGCCAUGGAGCAUACAAACAUCUUCUGAAGUCGUCGGAAAAACCUUUGAUUUUUAUGUUUGCCGUUACAUUUUUCUGAAUGUGCCAGCCACAUAAUCGGUGAGUUGCAUUUGGGAAGAUUUCUUGAAUUGCUGCCUUCAUUGCCUCAUCACCAUCUGUGACCACAACACUAGGAGACUUGUUCAGCAUGACAUCUAGAAAGUUUUGCAACAACCACGUAUAUGUUGCCGUUUGUUCGUUCUCUAUCAAGGCAAAGCCAAAUAUGCAUGUUUGACGGUGUUGGUUACAACCCGAGAAGAUAACCAACGGUCUUAUGUACUUAUUUUUCUGAUAGGUUGUAUCAAAUGCAAGCACAUCUCCAAAGCACUGAUAAUCCGCCCUACAAAUGCCAUCUGCCCAAAAUAGAUUCGCCAGCCGACUUUCAUCAGUAGCACUGUACCUUGCCAUGGCCAUGGGGUCAACAUCGGCUUUUCCAAGUAGAUAGCUAAUUGUUGCAUUAGAAUCCCCACCAAUGAGCUUUGCACGACGAGUUCUUUCAAUGUGGUUAUCCAGAUCCUUCUUUGUGAACCCGACAUUAGCAUAACCCCCGGCUUGGCCUACCAUUAGUCCCAUUAUCUUAGCGCUUGGAAGACCAUUAUCGUGCAUGGUGUUUGCCUGAGCUUUUUGAGCCUCAUUCAUCCCACGGUGGUUUGGAAUUAGGUGUACCAAGCAUUGGGGGAUAAGAUCGUGGUUGUGCUUCUCAACUAAUUUUUUAACUCUCCAAGCUGAAGUUUUGGUGUCAAAGUACACCGCAAGCAUGGCUUCACAACCCGUACGAGUCAGCGCUUUAUGCUCCCUCUUCCUGUUCAAAUUAGAGAUGUAUUUAUCGGCUCUCUUUCCUUCCUUGUUGUAAAAAAAUCGCCUUCUGCGUUGUGUUCCAUCUUUUCCACGCGCUGUAUCACCCUUGCGAACUCCGAACCCGACACACCUUGCAUAACGCACAUACAAGUGAUAAGCUGCAUCCGAUGUUUCAAAUCUCUGGUUUAUAAUAUCAUCGACUAUCACAACAACACACUUGCUACUGCUGCCACCGCAAUCACAAGUGCAAUUUACAGUCUCUUCCACACCAGUCAUCAAGCAAUCUUCAACGUUCUCUUCUGAAUUGAGUGGUUCCGAAUCAACAUCCAUUGCACCCAGACUCGUUUUCUUUCUAAUUCUAUAUAUGUAAAAAAGUGAAAAUUUUACCCCCUAAACAAGAACAGGUAGAAGUAGGAGAUAUACAUAUAAUUUUCUACUUCUUCAAGACACCUUAGAAUUGUAUUUUGCAGAUCUCAGUAUAUUUAAUAGAUUCAAAUUCAACUCCAGUAUUUUAUCCAAUAUAUUUCAAAUAAUUUGAUUCAGAGCAUAAUCCUAAUUCAGAUACAAAAUAAAUACCGAAAAAAAUGACAAGUCUAAAUCAACAAAAUAUACUUUAAAUUUAGGUUAAAUUUCAACUCCGUCUAAGUUUUGCACACCCUUACCAAGUUACCAAGGUUUCUCAAACCAAACAAAUGAACACUAAAUUAGAUGGUUGCACACUAAAUUAACAAAAAAGUCAAGCUUAGGCACUAAUUUAAUUGCAGAAAUAUCAUUUCUUCAAAAGUAAACACUAACACGUCCAAUAUCAUUUACAGUUUCAUUUAAUUAAGAAAAAUAAAAUUGGUCAACCAAACAUGGCAAGCACUUAACCCAAACAUGCAAAUAUGAAUUUAACAUAAGUGAAAUGUGAAAUGGAGAAGGAAAUGAAAGAAGGUUGACAGGAAAGCAUGAAACAUCCAGCAUAGACACAUUCUCUUGGGUAUUGCUUGAAAUUACCUAUUGCUUAAAAUUCGAAUUUAAAAUUUAGAGUUCAACAGAACUCCUACAUUCUUGAUCUAUUUCGUCAGAACAAAUGAUCAUUUGUGCUAUAUAUAUAUAAAAGGAAAUGAGAUUUUUUUUUAUUAUCUUCUUCGUUUUUAUUUAUAUUUGUUGGUUUCUUUCUUGACUCAUCUAUCUACCCUUUUGAGUUCUAAGGUAUGUGUAACUGUGUCCACAACAAUGUUAUACACUAUGCUUAUUUUUUCAGUUUGUGAUCAGACACGCAGGUCAAUGCAUAAUUGUUAUUGUUAAUGGAUAAUCUUAAGAGUAAUUGUAAAGCUUUAAAUGAUAAUAAACUUUUCCAUCAACGUAUAAGUUUUGUUAGCACACAAUGUAAUUGAGCUUAACCCUUGAUAUUAUUAAUUUAUUUUUUGGUUUCAAGGAACCUAAAUAAACCCUUUUAUUAGUAUAACUUUCUUUUUCUCUGUACAUAUGUACACACUCAGAAGCUAUUCAUAUUCAUACUUCAUUUAUACACUGCUUUUGACAGAGAAUUGAAGGAUGGCAAAAAAACAAAAGGGUCCUGCAAUAGGAAUCGAUCUUGGAACUUUAUUGUUAAAGCUUAAGACAGUAAUAAAGCAAGAAUUUUAUCUUCUAUGGAAACGUCCUAAUAGCAUAGAACUUGCAGGGACUCGCUAACCGUGGUUGCUCAAUCCGUGUGGGAAGAGACACAGAAAAGAAUGACAAAGGUAAGUUUCCAGUAAAAUUGCAGUAGGUUGAGUUGAAGGAAUUGUAACAUUAGACUACCUAUUCCUUCUUUAGAAUAUUUGCUUUGCUAAAUGCUAAUGUAUCAACUUGAAUUUACUAAUGCUAAUGCCACAUAUACUGCUAUGAAAAAAUGCUAUGCAUCCCUUGUUUAUUUGCCCAAAAUCACCCCGUUAAGUAGGUAGUCUAUAAAAAUAUAAAAUCCUAAAUUUUUGUUGCAUCUUUCUAGCACUUUAAAUUCGGACAAGAACCCUAGCUAUGUAACAUUGUUUUUCUGGUAUUACUUUUCUCAAUUGAAUUUUACUUCAUUUCCUUUUCCGUUCCAAUUUUACCUCUGCAAUUAUAUUUUUUUAUAUUACUGUUUCCCUUUCAUCAUUACUUCUUAUUUCAAAAUCAAUUUCAAUUUUAGUUACCAGUUUUUUGCAUAACCCAUUUAAUUCUGUUUGAUCCCAAUUAUAUAAUUAUUAAUAAAAUAGUAAAAAAUCCCAAUUUUGGCUUCAAUCAUUCAUACCGUUCAUCUUUUUAUGAAUACCCAUGUGCCCAUAUUGGUGAUCUUCACUCAAUGUGAUUAUUUUUGACAAAAAAAUCAAACACAGCAACCAAACACAAAAUAGACGAAGAGGAAAAUUUGUUGAAAACUCAUCAGAUUGGGACCAGGUUGUGCGAAGGAGGCCGAGGAGUUGCUGAAGGCGAGGAGGAAGUCGGGGAAUUGCUGCUUCUGUCUCGGCGUCGACGGGCGCAAUGACGGUGCGAGACUGACUACGAGGCAGUGACAAGACAGGGAGCGGCGACAACGUCCAGGUCCGGGAGCUGCUGCUACUGCCGCCAGUGACGACGACGGCAAGGAAGGCACGCGAGAUUGGAGCCGGGAGAGACUGACGACGAGCUUGUCGGAUGAUGCUGAUAGAAGGAGAAAACUUGGGUCAAUGAGAUAUGAGAGAUGAGAGAGCUUCUGUGAAAGUGACGUUGAGGGAGGAGAAGGGAUUAUAAAAUGACGUAGUUUGGUGGACUGAAGAAAAGGACAAAAAAAGAAAAAGACUCGGACCGGUUUAUUUAAACCAGCUAGGUCGAACCGGAUUUAAAGUAUCUGGUUUAAAAAUAAAUUUUAUUAACCGGUUUUAUAAAACACCAAUCAUAAAGUGACACGUCAGCAACUUUAAAAAAAGUUGUUUUUGUCAACUUUAUGUGAGUCUCCCCCUAUAUUUAAUUGACUAAAAAUGUUUGAGAGUAAAAGAAAUAUGGGAAGUGGCCCCUGUGUCUAAAAUCCAAUCAUGUGAACUCACAACACGAGUGAAAAAAAAAAAGAUAUGAUAUAUAUCUAUUGAUGGUGCAUGAAUUGUUAUCAAAUUUUUAUUAUUAGAAAAUUCUUGAUGUUAUUAAAAGAGAGCUAUUAGUGCUUUCUUUUGCUUAGAUGAAAACAAGCUAUCUAAAUUGAUGUUCUUAUCCUUUUUAGGAGAAGGAGUGAUGCUGGCUUCUUCAUUCUCUAUAACAUUGAUAAUAUUAAUAGAAGUCAUAAAGUGAUUCACUGCCUUAACUUGAUUUUGUUGCAUGUGUGGUGGAAAGUCAUGUGUAUGGUAUCAAGUGUCUACCAAAUGUCCUGUUUUACCACAGUAUGAACAUAGUCAGAAUGCACCUCUUUCGUUGCCUCUUCCACGUACACUACGCUUCCUUCCUUGACCAGGAAUAUUAGAGGAUGUGGCUCAAAAUUCACAAUUUUAUUGACCAUUUGGUUUUAUCUCAAAAACAUUAAUGGCAGCAGAAUUUACUAAUGCAUUAGAAUUAGGCUCAAUAUUGUGCACUUGUUGUCUUUCUUGUUAGAGAAGAAGAGAAAAAGCUAUUGUAACAUCUGGAAGACUUCACGAGUAUUAUUUGAGAGUGUACAUUUACAUAUUAGUCAUUAAGACCUCUGAGAAAUCGAAUCACAUAUGACUGAUGUCUAUAAUGGUGCAUUAUAUCCAAACCACAACUACAAGUGCUUUCACAAAGACAAGUGGGUAUAGAUCGAAAUUCAUCUAAUUCUUCCCAAAUAGCUUUCAAUUUUUUGUAAUAGAGGUGGUAGACAUCUCAUCUUACUUUGUGGUGAACAAAUCUUCUUCCAACUUAGCAAUUCAAAACAAAUCAUUCUCAUAGAACCUGUGCUUUAGGUCCUUCCAAAGCUCAUAUGCCACACCAAAGAACGCUUUGCAGAAUUUCAGAACUCAGUGAGCCAUGCAACCAUGACAAGACAAAGAAAUUGGACCGAUCCCAUGCUUCAUAAGUGUCAUCAUCUUUAUUGGGUUUUAAGAGAGUGCCAUCUACAAAUUUAAUUUUAUUCUUUGAUUUUAGGAAAAUCCAAACGGAUCUAGACCAACUGUGAUAAUUUAGGGUUGUUAAUGAAGUAGUUGUGACUUGUGAAUAAGAGUCCUGGAAUUUCACUGGAAUGUAGGUAAAAGCAGCUCAAUGGGUCUUAUGAGCUUAGUUUUGUAGUGCUCGUUUGGAGAAUUGAGCCAUCAUCUUAGCAAAUUUGUGAAAAUCAGCAGCAGUGAAAGUUUGAUAUUCUAGAUUCACCACUACUUUAUUUUCAGUCAUCGUGGAUGAACGAAUUGACAAGCUCUUCUCUCACGAACAUUAUGCAAAAGUAUACUUCAUACGUGGUGAAUAAUUCACCUUUUUUGUUAGCUUCCACGCUCACUAUGAAAAAUUCAUUCUUCAACAAAAUAUAGUUUCAUACAUUAAAUGUUGUUUAUAGAUAAAUUUUUUAGAUUAAAUUAUUGCACCUGAUUGUUAUGCCGCUUCUGCUAUUUCUUUUACUUUUCGCAUUGAUACAUUUUAAAAGUUUGAUUUUGAUAUAAAUUUAUAGUGUCAAAAUUUUUACAUUAUUUUCUAAUUAGAAUUAAUUAUACAUCAUACAAACUUUCGGUAUCUCAUCAUUUUUUUAUCUUCUCUUACUCGUAUAUUACCUAUACAUAAUACUAAAUAUAUUCAUAUAUACAUGGACGCUAUCUGUAUAUUGCACGUGUUUUAAACUUGUAGUAUUUUAAAAAUUGGAUCGUUCUAGCCAAUUUAGUAGAAAAAAGUAAAAUGAUCAUUUUUACCAUUCAAUUAAGAGAAAUAAUUGCCAAUUUUAUAUAAAAUUUGUUUCAAAAACUCGUUAAUUAAAACUCAAAAGGUUCUUGUUUUUUUUUUUUUUUACAAAACAGACUUAUACUCUAAAAGUAAAUAACAAAAUUGACAAACCAAUUUUAAUUAGCACGGAAGGUCUUAGAUUUAGUAGUAAAAAUCUUUGCUUUAUAAUAAAUAAACCCAAAUUUGAGACUUGGCUAAAGCAAGCAAUGAUGCUAAUCACAACUCCAACCACAACUUAUUCUCCACUUUUUCUUUUUGUUAGGGAUGGAAAUGGGUCAAGCCGGCCCAAGUUUCAACUUAAAUGAGUUUGGCCUACGUUGCAAAUAAAUAGCCUAAGUCUAGGUCUAUUACCUUUUAUAAACUUUUUUUAAGGCUCGAGUCUGGCCUACUUAAAAGCCGGAUAAGUUCAUGAACCUAUUUGNNNNNNNNNNNNNNNNNNNNNNNNNNNNNNNNNNNNNUAAUCAUUAAUUUUUUUAAUUUUGUUUUAUAUAAGUAAAUAUAUAAAAGUCCAAACUAAAAAUAAUUUAAUUUUAUAAAAAAAUAUUUUGAUGAGCCAAUCCAAUGAGCUUCUUAAACUUUUUUAAACUUAUAACCUGACUGCUUUAACCAAUAAACUUUUCAAAAAGCUCAAACCUAGCCUGUUUAAUAAUACAAGUUGAGUUGAGCCGAUCCUAAAAUGAGUCAAGCCACGAGCCCCAUUAGGUAGUUUGACCCACUUUUUCUACCCCUACUUGUAUAAUUCUAAAGAUUAGUCAGUUUUGAUUGAGUUAACUGAAAAUCGAUCCUCUAGUUAAUUUGACACUUAUGAAAAUAAAUUUUUAUUGAAUCGAUCAAGAAAUUGCUAGAAUCGAUGGAAAGUUGGCAAACCGAUUGAACUAGCAAAGGUUCAGCUCAAUUGGUUUGUAAAUUUUUUUUAAAAGGUUUUUAGCGUACAAUUUUUUUUAUAAAACCUUAAAUGACGUGGUUUACAUUAGGGGUGGCAGGCGGGCAUACCUGCCCUCAAAAGCCCAUUAUUUGGCGGUCCUAAAUUUCGAACUCAGCCACUAAUGGCAGAUUCGCAGGUCGCCAAUUUUUUUUUUGAAAAAAAUUAUUAAAUAAUUAAAUAUUAAAAAAUAUAUAAUUUCAUAAAUAUUUUAAUAAAUUUAUAAUUUUACAUAAUCAUCAAUUAAGUUUUUUAAAAUAAAAUAAUGAAAUUAACAUUGUUCAAAGCAAAAUAAACAUUAUCCAAAAUAUAGGACAAACGAGAUUCAUACCCUUGACACUUGCUUAAGUGGUCUAGUAAGCUAACUACUUAAUUAACCCAACUUUGUUAUAGUAGUCUCAAAUUUCUAAUGUUUUUUGAUCAUACAAAUUUCUAAUUCGAUUAUCCUUUUUAGUGAGUUACGUAAAGUGGCCCGGCAAAUUUCGACCCAAUCGUUAUCCAAAGUACAUCUUAAAAAACAAAAAAAAAAAAGAAAGAAACUCUAAAUCAUUCGAACUCACUCCAAUUCCCCAAGUUAGGCAAGUACCCUUGUCUAGGGGUGUUUAAAAUCGAUUGGAACUAAACAAAAUCGACCAACCAAACUGAAAAAAUUGAGAAAUGAACAAAUUAAAAACCAAAAAAACCGAAAAAUCAUGUUUUCAUGUUUUUUUUAUGGUUCGGUUCAGUUUUCAAUUCUGCCUGUAAAAAUCCUAACCGAACUGAACCGAAUCGGUCAACUAAAACCCCUAAACAACCAUUAGAUAACCCAACCCCACUAGGCAUUUCCCAUCCCCAUCAGAUAACCCUAGCGCAGCCAAAGUCUCAAAGAAACCCCAUUACCCCAGCCCCUCCCAGCGCCGCCGAACCNNNNNNNNNNNNNNNNNNNNNNNNNNNNNNNNNNNNNNNNNNNNNNNNNNNNNNNNNNNNNAGCUUCUGAAUGUGUAUUAUUUCUGAUUUAGGGUUCUAGGUUCUGAUUGUUAGAGAAGGAAUAUUUAACUGCAUUUUAUAUAUAAUUAAAUGCUGGAUUUAAGAUUUGUGUGUUGAUGUAGUUGCCAUAAGCCGAUAAGGAAUUCAUUUGGUGCCACAAAUUACCCUGUUGUGUUUUAAUAAAUAAGGAAUUCAUUUUCUUUUAUGCGUUUGUGUUUUGCUGAAUUGUUAACACAUUAGUCACUUUAAACAGUGGAAUAUGUAGUUCUUUGAUCUAUAACUGUGAAACAUUAAGAUAUCACUACCUGCUAUCAUAAUGAUUUGAAGCCAAUGUAUAGGAGUAGGACAAUUGGAAGAUUAAUGAUGAAAUACUAUAUAGGAAGAUCAUUUUAUUGGAAUAUUAUUCAUGUCAUUCAUUGUUUUACUUGGUGCUUUGUUUCUAAAAUUCUACCAAAACCUGUGAAGGGUCAGCUUUGGCUAUAUCAUAUAUGACAUAUGAGAUAUUUAAUGUUUUUUCCAAUCUUAUCAUUUGCCACUAAAUAUAGCAUUGUUUUUACAGGGAAGGGGGCUGGAGAUUGUAGUUCAUGUGUAGGUGUCAUGUUGGAACUUGCUACUGCUGCUGCCUACCUUCUUCUUCUCUGCUUCCUCAUCCAUCUCUGUCUUCCAACACUGCAAGAGUUCGUUGCCACCAGCAUCGUUGCCGCCAGCAUCGUUGCUCUGUUUUCUAUCUCUCUUCCUGUGCUGCUAAUCGGUUCAACUCCUUCAACUCCUGCGUCUUCGCCCGCGACGCUGCCACCAGCAUCUCUGUCACUUGCGUCUCUAUUCGCCUCUUGUUGCUGCCCUUUCUCGUCCCUUGUAAGUCUUACUGCUUUCUCAAUUUC
This 65775-nucleotide long non-coding RNA is filed under the name Arachis ipaensis. Its description in RNAcentral is "long non-coding RNA (AIPA_LNC000979)". Lineage: Eukaryota; Viridiplantae; Streptophyta; Magnoliopsida; Fabales; Fabaceae. The record is from RNAcentral.